RNAcentral lists this long non-coding RNA (82547 nucleotides) under Malus domestica (apple). RNAcentral's name for it is "long non-coding RNA (MDOM_LNC001355)". Lineage: Eukaryota; Viridiplantae; Streptophyta; Magnoliopsida; Rosales; Rosaceae. The record is from RNAcentral.
AUGCCUGAAAUUGGUAUUUGAACCACCAACUACCUCCGUGAAUAUGUUUGUUUGCUUAAUGGUUUGCGUUGAAGUUGUGAAAGGAAAUGCAAUUUCUUAAAAGAAGGAGAAUGCAGAGACAAAUACAGAAUGGUUCACGUGGCCACCCUCAAAACAAUAAUGUCGUAUACAUUAAGCCUGCCAAUUACUAAAAACAAAACAUUUUGCCAUGAGGAGAAGUAAGAACAUACCGAAACUUGUUUGCAAAUAGAUGAGAAAAAUUAUACCUCAAACAGAUGGGAAAUUUAUUAGGAAAGAUAGAUCAGCCCACAUGUGUGUAAUCUAUAUACAAAAAACCACUCUCUUCAUUAGCCAAAUCGUUUCAUAAAUCCAACAACACAUAAUUAUAUCUUGAACAAUGCCAAUUAAUGAUUUCCCAUUUACUUAAGCCGGACAACAAAGCCAAUGAACUGAUGAAAGAGCGAAAAAGAGAAACAAAAAACCUCAAUUAAGCAAUUAAAUGGAGUAUUACUUGAUAGAGCUGGAAAUUACCCAAUUCCUCAGAGAGAGGAUCAAGAGUGACUGAUGAGAGUGCAGAGAAACGAAUUAUUGAGAAAUUCAAGUUCUGAGCUCAAAGUUGGGGCCUCCACUUUCCAACUGGGGAAGAAAUAACAGAGAAAACACAGAGAGAGCCAAUCCACCAAAAAUAUUAAUCAAAUGGGUUUCUUCUAAUUCAAAAUUUGGACCACCCAAUUUCCGAUGAAGCAAUAACCAUUCAAAAUUCCAACAGAUUGAAGCCCUCACAGACUACAAAUUAUCAAUACCCAGCAAUAAAAAAUUUGAAAACAGUAAUAAUGAAGGAAAAAGAAAUUAAAGCUGCGAGCCAUUCUCUAAAUCUCAGGCACCAAUCCAAAUCACCAGUAAUUUGCACAUAAUGAUAAGAAUCUAGCGGUAUUUCCAUUGUUUAAAAACCCAAAUUCAAGAAAUCAUGAAAAAUGGAAACUUUAUUUGGAAAUUGAAGCUUUACCUGCAGAUCAGCAGCAGCAAACGGAAUCCAACGGCAUGUACCUCAAAAGUGAGAGAGAGAGAGAGAGUUGAGAGAUGAGUGAGAGAAUCGAUAAACAAAACCCCCCAAAAUCACAAAAGGAAAAUUGAACAGAAAACAAAUUUGCAAAUCCAAAAUCACAAAAACGAAAUUGAAACACCCACACUGAGAAAGCUGCAAUACUCACCAGGAAGCUAGCUUUUCUGGGUAAAAAAAUUGUUCGAAUCGAAUUGAAGAACCGAGGAAAAUUCUACUGGUUCAGUGGUUUUUCCAGCAAGAAAGCACCUUGUUUGUAAUUCGUGAGAGGUUGGACGGCGAGAGAGAAAAACGUAAAGGAAAGGAAAAGCGGAGAAGAAGUCACGAUUAUCGACGCGUGGGUUGCAUUCCACUGUGCCAAGUUCGAAAAUGAACGGGGAAUGGGGAGCUUGGCUGAGGGAGACAGAAUUCGAGAAGCAACGUUCUGAUUUUUUUUUUUAUAUGAGAGAGGGAAAGAGGAAUGAAGAGAAUCGACAAGAGGAGGAACCAUUUUAAGCGAUGAUGGACGCGUGGGAAUUGAGGGCAAAUUUGCCAUUUUGCUGUGAACCCAAAAGUCAAGACUUGGCUUGGUUUAUAUAAUUAAUCAAUAAUAUUUCAUAACAAGAGCUAGGUCCAUAUAUUAUACAAGGUUCUAAUAUAAUAGAUGUUGUGGCUAGGCGAGGCUUAUUGUCUAUGCGAAUUUAAGUAAAUUUACUCUAUAUUAAAUAAAUAAAUAUAUUUUUACACUUAAAAUGACACAUAAUUGUAUUGUGAUAUAUAAAUUAUAAAAUAAAAUGAUAUAUAUAUUAUAAAGUAUUGGAGACCCAAAUGUGAAAUGACAACUAUAAACAAUUAUUCAAGGUGGACGGUAAAUGAUUCAGCCAUUUACAAGAUUCAAAACGUAGGAUCACGAUCUACUGGAUGAUUGUAUUAACUAUUAGGCGGUGCUCUAAUAUAAUACAUCCAAAUGGGGGUGGACCACAUAAUACACCCAAUAGGUCGUUUUAAGCUACUCCACUGCUAAAACUAUUGCAAAAUGCGCAUUAGGAUUUAUACUUCUAUUAGCUACGCCUUUCCUUACUAGGCAAAUGAACCAUAUAGUACACCAAGAUGGAUGUUAUACACGUUGGAGUUUGAGCAGAAUUCUUUUUGUUAUCAUGUCUCACAUUGCUAGAAUUGAAAAGUUCAUAAUAUAAUAACAUUCACGUAUGAACUUGAGAAACAACAUACUACUGGUUGGCCUGGAAGGUGCAGUGAAGGAGAGGAAAGAAAGUAACAAACACGAAAGGAUAAGGACUAUCCAAUAGAUUAUAAACAAUGACUUCUUGGGGGUGAUUACAGCUAUUCAACCAUCAAUAAUGCAUUAUUUUAGUUUGGAAUUUGGAAGCAUUUGAGAAGUAACAUGACAACAACCACAUAAUAAACAAAGAUGAUUAGAAAAAAGACCCGAAUGUGAAAGAAUAAUUAAAAACAAUUAUUCAAGAUUAGUGAUAAAUGAUUCAACCAUUUACAAGAUAUGAACUUAGAACAACAAUCUAUUAGAUCGUUGUAUUAAUUAUUAAGUGGUGCUCUAAUAUAAUAGAUCCAAAUCGGAACGGACCACAUAAUACACCCAAAUGGAUCAUUUUUAGGCUCCACUGCUAAAAACUAAUGCACCAUGGGCAUUAGGAGUAGACUUUUAUAGCUAUCUUUCCUUACUAGUCAAAUGAACCAUACAAUACACCCAAAUGGAUGCCAUCAUGCCAUAUAUAAACAAUGUUUUGAAAGGACAAGGUAGCUAACGCUGUCUUUUUAUAUAUGUAAGCAACAACCCUAAAUGAAUCUUAUUGGAGCUAAUUAACUAAUGUAUUUAUUAGACAGUUGGAUUCCUUAGCAAGGGGUUAACUAUUUUUGUUUAGAUUAGUAGUCAGGUGGUAAUUAAUUAGUCAAAUGAACCAUAUAAUACACCCAAAUGGAUGUGCAUAUAUAAACAAUGUUUUCGAAGGAUGAAAUGACUUUCUUGCCGGUAUGGGGGAAGAGGAUUGCGCGAAAAUUUUCGCACUAAUCUAAAUAUUGUGUUUCAAGCUUUGAAAAACCAUUGAAGCUUUGAAAAGUUUGGUGAUUUUGUUAGGUUAUGUGUAUGAGUGACAUUAAUAAUUUUCAACUUCCCAAGCAAUUGUUACACAAAAUUAAAUUUAAAAUCCAAGAGGCCGUGGUUACAGCUAUUCAACUUUUGUAGAUUUUCCGGUUUUAUGAGAUUGGCAUUCUUUUUCAACACAACUUCUAUUGAGUUCAUAUAAACUAUUAUAUGAAGGAGAAAUGGUAAAAAGACUCCCUCAAAAUCCCAAAUGUGAUAGGAGAAAAGACACAAAUAUGAAACAAUUAAAAACAAUUAUUCAAGGUGGGUAGUAAAUGAUUCAGUCAUUUACAAGAUUCAAACAUGGGACCACGAUCUACUGGAUGACUGUAUUAACUAUUAGGCGGUGCUUUGAUAUAAUACAUCCAAAUGGGGGUGGACCACAUAAUACACCCCAAUGGUUCGCUAAAAACUAUUGCAAAAUGCGCGUUGGGCUUAUACUUCUAUUAGCUGCGCCUUUCCUUACUAGGCAAAUGAACCAUAUCCAAAAUGGAUGUUAUACACGUUAGAGUUUGACCAUAAUUUUUUUCGGUUAUCUCAUUGUCUCACAUUGCUAGAAUUGAAAAGUUUUAAUAACGUUUGUGUAUGAACUUGAGAGACGACAUACUAUCGGCCGGCGGGGAAGGUGCAGUGAAAGAGAGGAAAGGAAGAAAGAAGUCAACACGGAAUGACAAAGACUAACCAAUAGGUUAUAAGCAAUUACUUCUUGGGGUGAUUACAGCUAUUCAACUAUCAACAACGCAUUAUUUUAGUUUGGAAUUUGGAAGCAUUUGAGAAGUAACAUGGCAACAACCACAUACUAAACUAAAGUGAUUAGAAAAAAGACCCAAAAUGUGAAAGAAUAAUUAAAAACAAUUAUUUAAGAUAAGCGAUAAAUGAUUCAACUAUUUACAAGAUAUGAACUUAGAACAACAAUCUAUUUGAUCGUUGUAUUAACUAUUAAGUGGUGUUCUAAUAUAAUAGAUCCAAAUGGGGACCGACCAUAUAAUACACCCAAAUGGACCAUUUUUAGGCUCCACUGCUAAAAACUAAUGCAAAGUGGACAUUAGGAUUAAACUUGUAUUAGCUAUCUUUCCUUACUAGUCAAAUGAACCAUACAAUACACCCAAAUGGAUGGCAUCAUGCCAUAUAUAAACAAUGUUUUGAAGGGACAAGGUAGCUAACGCUGUCUUUUUAUAUAUGUAAGCAACAACCCUAAAUGAAUUUUACUGGAGCUAAUUAACUAAUGUAUUUAUUAGACAGUUGGAUUCCUUAGCAAGUGGUUAACUAGUUUUGUUUAGUUUAGUAGUCAGGUCGUAAUUAAUUAGUCAAAUGAACCUGCAUAUAACACACGCAAAUGGAUGCCAUAUAUGCAUACUAUUUUUGUUUAGUUUAGUAGUCAGGUCGUAAUUAAUUAGUCAAAUGAACCUGCAUAUAACACACCCAAAUGGAUGCCAUAUAUGCAUAUAUAAACAAUGUUUUCAAAGGAUGAAAUGACUUUCUUGCCGGUAUGGGGGGAAGAGGAAAGAAACUAGCACGAAACUGCAGACCCUAUCGAUCCAUUAUAAUAAAUUUCAAUGGUCCAAGUUGUAAGUUAAUUGUGUAACGUAAAAACUUAUUUACAGUUAUCAACUUAACCACGUACAUGUGGAAGACAUUAUCUCAGAAAACUAGAAAGUUCAAUUGCAACUCUACACAACUGAAAGCAAGGCUCGCUCAAUAGGGCUUGAGUUUUUUUGUAAACUUGCGUAUUUUUGUAAACGCAUCACAUAGUAGUUAAAACAUCCGGCCGUAAAUAAAGGGUUUGAGUGUCACAUCCUAGCUCGGGGCAGACCACUUCCCGGGCUCACUCCACUACCGUAGCAUGAUAUUGUCCGCUUUGGGCCCCGACCACGCCAUUACGGUUUUGUUUCUAGGAACUCACGAGCAACUUCCCAGUGGAUCACCCAUUAUGGGAGUGCUCUGGCCACCUUCUCGCUUAACUUCGGAGUUCCGAAGGAACCCGAAGCCAGUGAGCUCCCAAAAGGCCUCAUGCUAGAUAGGGAUGAGAAUAUACAUUUAAGGAUCACUCCCCUGGGCGAUGUGGGAUGUUACAAUCCACCCCCCUUAGGGGCCUGACGUCCUCGUCGGCACACUUCCGGCCAGGGAUUGGCUCUGAUACCAUUGUCACAUCCCGGCCCGGGGCAGAACACUUCCCGGGCCCGCUCCACCACCGUAGCACGAUAUUGUCCACUUUGGGCUUACCAUUCCCUCACGGUUUUGUUUUUGGGAACUCACGAGCAACUUCCCAGUGGGUCACCUAUCCUGGGAGUGCUCUGGCCCCCUUCUCGCUUAACUUCGGAGUUCCUACGGAACCCGAAGCCAGUGAACUCCCAAAAGGCCUCGUGAUAGGUAGGGAUGAGAAUAUACAUUUAAGUAUCACUCCUCUGAGCGAUGUGGGAUGUCACAAUCCAAUUGUAACAGUGUCAUGAUCAGACUUGUAAGACUGUCUUUAAUAAGAAGUUGUUGCGUUUUGUCAAAACUAGGUAUGGGCAACGGUUAUGGCGGGCGGGUAACCGCGGUUAAUUAUCCAUAACCGUUUAUUCUCAUACAUGCAUAACUGUUUACCCGUUGGGUAAUUGUCUAAACGGUUAUACCCAUACCCAUAACCGUUUAUAAACGGUUAACCAUAACCAUAACCGUGUACCCAUUUAACCGUAACCGUUUAGUACCCAUUUACCCAUUUAUCAUUUUUAAACCCGUUUAUCCUUUCUUUUUUACCAUUUACUCAUUUUUCACGCAUCUACGUGUUUUUUUAACAACUUGAAAAUUAAAAAAGAAAAAUUUGUCAUAAUUUUCUUUUUCUAACAAUUAAACACCGUUGUAGUAUUCAUCAUACAUUUCCGUAUUUUAAUUUUUAAGUCCUUAUACCAUUUCAAUAAUUGAAAUAAUAGUUUACAGACAAUAUUUUUAAUUGUUAGCAAUGAAGGUAAUAUAAAAUUUGCUAAGUAUUCUUUGGUUACGAAAACUGUUAAAAGACAGUAUUCUUGGGUUAUUUAACUCAGAAUGUAUAAUAUAUAUAAUGGACCAUGAAAUUUAAAGUGGUUAAGGAAAACUAUAUUAUAUUAGCUAUAGAAAUCAUGCACUAUAGUCAAUAGCAUUGAUCUAAGUUUUGUCCGAUAGUGAACAUGGUUUGUGUUAAUUUUACAUAUAUAAAAUAAAUGGGUAAAUGGUUACCCGUUUAUAACCACGGUUAAUACCCAUACCGCCCAUUUAAAUUUCACGAGUAAACGCCCAUAACUGUAACCGUGAAAUUUAAAUAGGCGGAUAACCGCAGUUACCCAUAACCAAUGAGUAUUUACCCAUCCCUAGUCAAAACCGGUCCAUCUAAUUACAAAUUGUAACCAUAUUAGUUGAGUGCAUAUGCUACAUCACAUUUAGUGAAUAUUCAGUACGGGUGACACAUGGUCAGACUUGUAGGUUGUUCAUUAAGAAGUUAGUUACCACGUUCUCAAGAGUGGAGCUAGAGGGGAGCACUUCCCUACCAAAGUGUUUUCCUUCUCCCCUUUGCAAGGGAUUUGUGUCACUAUUAGAUAGGAGAUUCAAACACAAGACCUUCAAUUGAGAGGUAAACGCUUUUACAAAGCUUCUACGAGCACCUUCUUGUUUACCAAACUUAUUGAGACUAAAGGAGGUCUUAACGCCAUUUUGGCUAAUACUAUUCUGUAUAUUUACGAAUGGUUUUAAGUUUGGGUUUAAUUGGAUAAUCAGAUAGUAGUGCAUCAAACUAUGGAUAUUCAGAAACCGAAAGCAUAAUUCAUAUUCCUCCAACAAGUCCACGCAAAUAACCACAAUCAGAAUGUUAGUUCAUAACUGGCCAUAUAGAACGCAGUACAAAAGCACUAAAAGCGUCCAAGUGAAAGUGCUUUCUCCUCAUGUAGUUUCAUUUAACUUAGUUUCACAUGCCACUCCGUCACACACUCAACUCCUCAACGUUCGGGCUCAAAGCAUUCUUUAUCCCUUCUGCACGAGAGACAAUAAGUUUAAAGUUCUUGUGAUGAAAUCAUGUAAAACAUUCAGAAAUCUUGAUUUAACCCUUUAUCAAGAUCAUAGGUUGUGUCAUCUCAACUUAUAUCUUAGGUCUUAUGAGUGCUCGUAAUACACUAAUAUGACACUUGUUUUCUGGCCAGGACAGAAACAAAAUCAUGCAGGAAAUUGUCAUGACAACUUCAGUGUAAAAUAAAGGUCGUACCCAGUGCACAAGGCUCCCGCUUUACGCAGGGUCUGGGAGAGGUGAAUGUCGGCUAACCUUACCCCCAUUUAUGGAGAGGCUGCUCCCAAACAACUUCAGUGUAAAAUGCGACCGGAAAAACACUAAACAAGAUUGCUAUGCUCUCUUAGUGUAAACCUUAACAACAAAGACUAUACCGUAUCUGUCACAGUGAUAUGCGACCAUAAGCCCAACUCCAAGAGCUUUGAAGGCUACAAAUCAAAAGUUACAUGCAGUGACGACAUAAUCAUGAAAAAAUACAAUCAUAAAUUAAAGGAAAACAUACCGACUUCUAGUUCUGGCAAUUCACUAUUGGGCCAUAUAUUUGAACCACAGUAUGAUGGAUACCUACAAUACAGAUCACAAAUAAAAUCUGAGCAGACACAAAGUAUUAUGUUCUGUUUACACAAAAUCUGUAAGUUCUCAAAUAGGAUAAAUAAAGAUAAACAUAUCCCAGCAUAAAGACGAUUUGUCCUGGCUAAUUCUAAGAAACCUUGUAUCAAAUGUAUGAUAGUUAUUCAUAACUAACACAAACAAUAGUUUUGCCGAACAUUUCUGGUCUGAGCCGUAUACUGUGUGACCUCAGACAAAACAGAUCCCACAUGGACCCAGAUUAUGAUUGAUGUCCCUAUAGACUUUUACCUUUGAAUUAGAGAUUCAUCUGUUGUAGGGCUUCCAAUAUUGGAUUUGCAUAAAACGAGCCUUUUAACGUAUCUGCAAAACCAGAACAGAAACGGAAAAUGAAUGAUCCUACGUUCUUAGAGUUUCCAAAGAAACAAAAUUUAAAACAAAGAACAUAAAGUGAUACCAGGCUUUCCAGAUUCCAGCUUCUCUUUUCCAUGACUCCAUCCAAAAUUGUACCUAAACAUGGAUGGCAGGUAAAAAGAAGAUAAGCAAUAAGACUUUGUAAAGAUUCCCAAGAAAAGCAAUAAAACUACGUAAAUAUUAGUUAAUAAUGCCAAGACCAUAGUCUGUGACAAAUCCAAGAGUUGAGAUGAGACUAUCUUUCAGGCAGGAAUUUUUGGAAUUUUUCUCUAUUGGGACUAAAAUGAAAGCAUAACAAUGGGACUAAAAUGACUUAGCUACUAUGAGGAUCUUCAAGUUCCUUCUUCACCUCUUCGGGCAGAUUGGCUAAUCUAAUAAACGAAAAGAAAACUCCCAUGAGCAGUGCUAUAACAAACUAUCUUCCUAAAUUCAUUAUGAAUUGCAGUUAAAACUUAAAAUGAACAUGAAAAUCCUACGUAGAAGGGAUAUACCUAGGUGACAAGCCUAGAAGAUUCUCACGCAAGGAAGAAUAUCCCGGAACCUACUGCCAUUAAGGUUGUUAUUAAUAUCAAUUCAUGUAUAUUUCCGCAUGUGUCAUAUUAUUAAGUUAGACAGUGAAAAAUAUAUAUCGGAUGUUAUGAGAAUAUGUGUGGCUGUCAAGCUUGACACGUGAAUAACAUGCUCUCUACUACUUUAUUACACUGUGAAGAUUUUAUCCAAAAUUAAUUGACGAUGAGCGAAUAAACUGAAAGAUUAUGCGCUACUUUGAUUAUGCAACGAGUGAAGAGGCAAUUUACGCCAACCUCCAGUCAAGAAUUUGGACUCACAAUCACUAGCCAAUAUGCUUUUUUCUCACAUUUCCCCUGACACGGCAAGUUCAUUGUUCAAUAUUCUGGUUCUGGUGUCCUAUGACCCUGACACGGCAAGUUCCACUUUUUGUUCAUUUUCUUGACGAAACCAUCACACUUACCCUUACGGCACGGCACGGUUCCGGGCAUAGAGCAUGGAUUGGGUUUCGUUGCAGUCCCGACACUACUUAGCACUGUAGAGAAGGAAAUACAAAGACAAGUUUGGAUUUCUUACAACGUAUUGAGUCUCUCGUCAUGGCUCUUGCUGUGUUGUUCUUAUUUCACAUCCUGUUUCUCGAGUUUGGUGUUUCCGGUUGCAAAUUUGGUUCGGCAGUGUAGUGCUCAAGAGAGGGGACUGUCUCACAUUGUUCCAAGCAGACACAGGCGGUUGACAACGAUUGCGAUAAUGUGUUUUUCUACUGGGAGAACAUACAGCAGUCAGCAGUCAUCUUUUCACAACCGUCUUCAGUAUUUGGAGGCACCUCAAGAAAUUAUCAAGGACAAACGAAUGUAGAAAAGAAGAAAUAUCGAAGUUAGUUGACAAAAGGGGCCGAAAAAUUGUGAGAUACAGAGAAGAAGAUUAGACGAAACUCGAUGCAAAUUUUAAGCUAGAUUAGUUAUUUUUCAUUAACGAGCGAUACAGAGAAGAAGAAACAGCUGCAUUUGGAGAAAGCUGCUUUAGUUGCCUAGUUUGUAACAUUAGCUUUCUGUAAUUCCGGGGAAGAAACAGGAGUAAAAAAAAAACACAAUCAGGCAGUACCAAAAAAGAAAAAUGUACAAUUAGGAACAAUCGCCACUUCUCAAACUUUGUAGUAGAUCCAGGUAUCUGAUGGACUCGGGGCUAAUGUACCUGCAUUAACAAGAAACAAAAAUCAGAUUUGUGGAAGGGAGUCACAUAGUGGUUAAAAUACUUGGCCGUGCAUGAAUGGUUUGAGAUACCAUCAUAGAGGCAUCCUCCAGGUGUGAGUUUCUCUCGUAUCUGAUCACUUAUUAUAAGAAUAUCAGUAGUGAAAGUGAAAUACCCGUGUCGGGAAAGGAAGUCAAUGAUGACAAAAGAGCAAUUUGGCUUGAAAUAUUGUGUCCUCCGUAUGAUGCUUGCAACAUGCAUCACCGAAUCCACUUGAAGCUCUCCACCUCUCCAUCUGUUAAAUGUUUCAUAAGCAGCAUUGUUAAAGUUCUCUCUAUUUGGGGGGAUAUUGCAGAUGGUUUUGAAUGAAGAAAGGCAAAAAUUCAUGCAGAAGGCAUAAUUUACAACUAGUUUUGUAAAAGCUAAGCUCUAAAGGUCUCACCUUGAUUCUUUGGCACAAAUAGCUAAAGUUUUGAGAUGGGACAAAAUGGGUCCCAAGACCCACAUACAGCGCAUCCGAUGGUGUUGAAAUCCUUUUCCCAGUAAGUCAAAGAUAAGCGCCAAGAAAGACAUGACAGUGUUAAACUUAAAACAAAUACAGAACUAAGAAUUGAUGCAUGAAUCAAACAGAGAAAUGGUACAGGCCAUUCUCUUUAUAUUCUUAUAAUCUAAACAUUUCUCCUUAUCAACACUGGAAAAACAGCUUGCUUCAGUCAUAGGAAAUAAAUUGCGCCUGGAGUAUAGAAAAGACAUACCUACAGAUCCUCCUCCUGGACUCUUUGCCGCUAUACGUGAAAACCCAACAUCUGGGAACAAACAAAUUACAUUCUCUGCCAUAGCAAGAACAGUCCUCUGAAAUGUAUCCAUACAAAGUUAAGACACAAAAAAUUCAAAAAGGCAAUGUAAUUCACAACAUUGACAAUCUCUGUCUGACAAGGCAAUAAUACCUCUGUAAUGAUCUGGUAGUGACCGUGACCUGAUAGGCCAACACCAAAGCCCAUUGUUAUGCCAUCCAUGAAGAUAGGGCUUCUUGUACUCAGAGAUUUUGCAUAUUAGAGAAUACUCAGCAGUGAAUACCUGAAAAACAUGCAGCACAAGUAUCAUACCGGUAGCCUCUCAAUCUUAAGAAAUGGUAGCUUAGAAAAGAUAUGAAUCCUAUCCAACCAAUACAAAUCAUAUUACCCAAGUUCAAGCAAAAUCACGACUAAACAAAUGAUCAGAUGUUGUAGGUUGCCCGAGAAUGUCAAACAUGAAAUUACAAAAGAAAAAAAAACAAUCGUAUGUAUUGAACAUUAAUAAAUACUUGCUGAAAGCACAAUCUUAGCUGCAAUUUAUGACAUUUAUACGAGAUUGAAUAGCCAAAGCAAUUAAAGAAGUAGCAGAACUCAUAUAAGUGAUUUUCACUUUGAACUUUUAGGCUUAUCAGCAAAUACAUCAUUACGAUUCUAACGCAUGAAUUUUGUUAAAAGGGGCUUGCUUGCUUGUAUUAAGGCUUAAUCAUCAAUGAUUUUGCAAGGGUCAAUCGUCUUGCUAGUUGUAAAUCCAUGCACUAUGAAAAUUACCAAAAUUACAUCUUAUAUGGUAGAGAAGGAAGUCAUCUUAUAUUAUCUGGAUUUUAGAAGACGGUGUAAGGUUAUAAGUCUGUUAUUCUAUAUAGUUUAAAGGACACAAUUAGACAACAAUCAUAUUCGGUGGUUGGUUUUUGGCCGUGAUCUGCUUCACAUCACCGCCCGCAGGUAAUCUAAAUCUGGGUUAUUACUUAUCAAUGAAUCAAAGUGCCAACUUAUCGGACACCAACUAUCUCUCUAUGGCAAAAAAAUAACACAAAAAGGAACAAUGAAGUGAAACAAUAAACAACAUGACAUGAAACAGCACAAACAUCAAAGACCAACAAUCUAUCACAUAAGCACCUAAACAAGAAACAACUUUAGUUCAAAGCAAAGCGUAAUGUAGAAACCUUCAGCACAAGAGGCGUGUUUUUGUCCUUUUGAAUUUCGGCAACAACAACUUUAAUAUCCUUACCUGCAUUUACCAUGAUUGGUCACUCUCAAAACCUUACCUAAGAGACCCAAAAACCAAAAUAACUGCUAAAAGAGCUGAACAUACAUAUCUAGAAAAACUUAUUCAACUACAUGCUAAAAUGGAAGUGUAAAAUUGCCAGGAAAGAUAAGAAACUAUUCAAAUACGAGUUCUGGGCGUUACCGCCACAAAAGGCACGAGCCGAGCGGCUAUCAACAAGAACACACUUCACAUUUGGGUCAGAUUCCCAUUCAUCCAGAUAGCUCUUGUAUUUCACAUCCAAAUCUGCAUUUUCCAACAAUUCCCACUUAAACAGAAACACAAAAUUCUUCCAAAAAGAGCUAACUUCUUUGAAAUUUGAAUCCAACGUUUCGUCUUAUAACAAAUGCAAUAACAUAGAUUUGUAAUCAAUACGAUGCCAUAAAGUUCAAGCUCAAAAAUUCAAAUCAUCUCCAAAUCAAAAGCAAUUACAGAUAUAUACAUAUAUACAUAUGCGUGUGUGUGUUUAUCUACAUACCUAGGUUUAUGGCGUUGAGAGCUCGGGGGGCGACCGAGGGUGAUGACGGCGACGCCAAAGGUGCGGAGAAGGCGAGGGGAUUUGGAGGGUUUUGUAAAGAGGGGAUUUGCUCAGAAUUUGGGUCGCUCGUCCCUCUUAUGAGAGUGAUUCAAAAAUCGAAAAAGUUGAAAUUUAUUGAUUGUGAUCUGACUCAAACAUGUGAUGAUGACGAUGCAUCACAACCUUGGUUGUGCCUCUGGAUCAAAAUCCUGUUCCAUCAAAUUCGUGCUCAUUUUCCUUCAUAGGUUUGUCCCAUACUAGAUUAACCCCUGUUCCCUUAAUUGUCACAUUACCAUAUUUACUGUAUGGCUCUGGCAUUUCAAAAGUUAUAUCAACUUUAUCCCCGCUUUGCAAAUUGAGCUUAUCAUUCGAUAUUUGUCCCUGCCAAAGAUAACAUUUUCCAGAUACAUUGCACAUUUUUAUAACCCAAUCUUCUUUGCCUAUGUAGGUCUGCAACUCAGUACGCUUGGUAUUAUUUAUAUCAAUAUUGGCACGAGGAUGACAUUCUCCACAACUGGCAUAAGGGCUUCUUGACUCAUUAGUAUUUGAGCAGUAAAAGCAUAAUAGAGUCAGUCCUUCCAAAUUACGACCAUCACUCGGGAGGAUAUCAAAACUGACUUUAUUACCAUCGUUGACAAACUCGAACCAAUCAGGAACAUAAUUCCCAUUGAGAAAAAUGCCAUCACUUGGGAGGAUAUCAAAACUGACUUUAUUACCAUCGUUGACAAACUCAAACCAAUCAGGAACAUCAGGAACAUAAUUCCCAUUGAGAAAAAUGCCAUCACUCGGGAGGAUAUCAAAACUGACUUUAUUACCAUCGUUGACAAACUUGAACCAAUCAGGAACAUAUUUCCCUUUGAAAAAAAUAUCCGCAAGAAGUCCAUCCCUACAUAUACAGUGCAAGUGUCAUAUUUAUAUAUAUACACACACACAAUGUACAUGUGCGUUGUGUGUGUGCAUGUGCGCAAUAGGAAGACAAUUAAAGAGAGAUACCUUUAGGACGUUACUCAUAAAACCAGCGGUGAGUUUGGGGCAGUACCUCAUAUUAAAAUGUCGUGGAGUUUAAUGACUUAUCCAAGUCUGGAACCUCAGUGAGUGCGCGUGAAUCACAUACAUGUAGCUCUCUCAUAUUCGACAUUUUCGAAAAAUUGGGCAUUGUUACCAAACGGGAGCAAUCAGACGCAUACAGAAAUUUCAAAUUUGUUGGUAAACCAUAGAUUGUAUGAAGGUUACGGCAGUAAUUUAACUGCAAACGUUCAAGCUUUGAAAAACCAAUGAGGCUGGGUAAGGUAUGAAAAUCAUUACAUGUGAGACACAAAUCUUGCAAAGAAAUUAGACUCCCAAAAUCUUUUGGGAAUGCAUCAUCGCUUAAGCGCUGGAAUGAGAGAUCUAAAUUUCUUAAAGAGUCUAAGCCGUGUAACGAAUUGGGAAAUUGUGUGACAUGCCCCCUUAAAAUGAAAUCAGUGGUAAACCAUGAUUUCCGUAGAAAUAAAUGAGUGAGAUUCUUCAAUCUUACUGUGGAACGCGGUACUUGUCUUAUGGCUGUUUCAGACGCUUUAAGUACUCUCAAUGAUAUCAUCUUCCCUAAAUCCUCGGGCAGUUCAUUGAAUCGCCUACAAAAAUCAAGAACAAGAGUCUGAACGGAUUUGGACUUGUAGAAAUCCCCAGGAAGAGAAAUAAGAUUAUGGCAGCAUGUGAGGUUCACCAAAGAAAGUUUUUUAAGCUGACCAAUGGAGGGGUGAAUCUCGAACAAACUCUCACACCUUCCCAAUAUCAACUCUUCAAGACUUGGGAGAUUUGAUAAGUCUGGUGAUUUUUUUAAGUCACAGCAAUUACUGAGAUUAAGGAUUUUCAAGUUUUCAAGCGACUGUUGCACAAAAUCCAAAAGGUCAUACCCAGUGCACAAGGCUCCCGCUUUACGCAGGGUCUGGGAGAGGUGAAUGUCGGCUAGCCUUACCCCCAUUUAUGGAGAGGCUGCUCCCAAGUCUCGAACCCGAGACCUACCGCUUAUGGGCGAAGGCAUUUGUCAUCGCACCAAGUGCGACCUCUUUGGGGAAAUCCAAGAAAAAUUAAAAUUAAUAUCCAAAAGGAAUAUCUCAUAAAAUAAAUAAAUAAAUAAAUAAAUAAAGAGAGAAGGAAAUCCAAAAACAAAUAGAAACUUAACAUCAUCAUGUGUAAUCGAUUGUACCUUGGAGCCCUCCCAAACUUGUACCAGUUUGCUAUGCUUUAUCUCUAAAAUAACUAGUGUUCUUGGUUGAUCAAAGAAGUCAUCUGGUAUGGACUCUAAAAGGUAUCCUUCCCAACGCAACCAUACUAACUCUUUGGGGAGAUGUUUGUAUUCUCCAUUGAGCUGCACGUUCUGGAGCAUGAGCAGUCUCAGUUUCUUCAUAUUAGCAAAUGCUUCUGUACUGAUACAACUAGACUUUAAAGGGAAUUCUCCACGGAGCUGCACGCGGUGGAUCAGUCCCAGUUCCCUCGAAUUGGUAGGGAAACUUACAACAAGUCCUUCAACUUCUUUAGUUCCCUGUUAACAACACAUUAUACUGGGUAAGAAAAGGAUUAUGUGCAUCUAUUUUACGUGAUUUUGCUAAUUGAGCUUCUUAAUGCAAAUACAUAUAUUUACACAUGAAUUUUUUAAUGUAUAAUAGGCAUACGUGGGUUACAUAUAUGCUUUUCUUGUACGAUGCAUUAAUACAAAUUUUUUUUGGGAAUCUACUUACAGAUUUAUUUGUUAGUACAUCAUAGACAUCUCCAGGGAUCCACAACCUGCUCCAUUCUCCAGGGGGACGAGUGGAUUUUUCAGAAAUGAUUAAUUUGGCCAUUUCUCGAAGCAAAUCAUGCAUAUUCAACUUCUUGUCUUCAACAGUUAUAAGGCAUCGUUCACGGAGGUUACUGAUUCCUAUUGUUGCAAAAAACUUACAUUCAUCUAAUAUUUUUGCGACAUCGUCCUUAUCCCAUCCAAUAAAGAAACAAGAUAUGUCAAGGAAUAUAUCCUUCUGCGUAGGAUCUAGCCUUUCAAAGCUUACUUUUAGCGGUUUCAUUAUUCCUUCAUCAUGAAAUUUUUUCAAUUUCUUCAAUUGACUUUUCCACUCUGCUGGGGUUCUUUCAGUCAUAGAAGAACCUAAAACUUCAAGGGCUAGUGGCAAACCACCACAGUAAGAAACCACCUCUUUUGAGAGUUCAAGAUAUCCUUCAUUAGGCCAACUAUUUCCAAAGGCAUGCCAACUAAAGAGCAUCAGGGCUUCUUCUUCAUUCAUUUCUUGAAGCGGAUAUGUCUUGUCCACUUUCAUGUUCACUUGCUUUAGUAAACGUUCAUCUCGUGUCGUUAUGAUAAUUCUACUUCCUGGGCCAAACCAAUCACGAUUUCCAGCCAUUGCAUUUAGUUGUUCCACUUUGUCUACAUUGUCAACAAUGACAAAUACGCUUCUACGUCGGAGAUGAUUUUUUAUCAGACUGAUACCUCCAUCAACACUGGUUAUCUUAUUAGACUCGGUCUGUUUCAAGAUGUCAGAAACAAGUUUUCUUUGCAAAUCAACCAGAUCAUAUUCGCUAACGUUGGCAAGGAAACUUUUGAACUGGAACUUAUGAUGAAUUUGGUUAUAAAUGGCUUUGGCAGCUGUUGUUUUACCCAAUCCACCCAUCCCCCAAAUUCCAACCAUGCGUACAUCUGAUCCACCAUUUGAAAGAUAAGUGAUGAUAUCUUGAAUGCGGGUAUAUAUUCCAACUGGGUGCUUGGCCACAUGUAAUUUUUCUGCGCUCGGAAGCCAUUCCGGGAUAAUCUUGUCAACAAUUUCUCUAAUAAGCUUUGCUUCGCGCCUGAAAAUUGAAUUCGUAAGCGUUAGUGGGACUCAAUGAACAGUAGGAGCUAUCAGUACAUAGACAAUUGUCUUUACUUCAUAAAAGAAAGAAAUUCAUUCACUAAAAUGUUUCAAAACUUGAAAAGCAGGUGAAUGAUUACCCAUUGUUAGUGAUUUGAAGAUGUUGGCCAAACAAAUUUGCAGCUUCUGUAAGAGCCUUUCUCCAUUGCUUUACCCUUUCUUGUUUAGCUUCACGUUCCUUGUCAUCUUUUUCUUCAUGGAUGCCCUCUUCGUGCUUCUGAAAUGCUUGAGCUAAAUCUCCGUUCUGCUUCCUAAUGUGAAGGAUCAACAUGAUAGAAUAUUGGCAAAACACGUCGCCCCAGUUUGUAUCUGCACUCCAUGAUCUUCACCAGCUCGUCAAGACACCAACUCGAGUCCGCAUAACUCUUUGAGAAGACAAUGAUAGAGAUCCUCGCCUCUUUGAUUGCCCGGACCAGUUCCUCUUUUAUUUCUUCCCCUCUUUCUAGAUCGUCCUCAUCGAUAUAAGCCUGGUAUCCCCUGUCAGUUAAUGCCGCAUGGAGGUGGCCCGUGAAACCAUUGCGUGUGUCUACACCGCUGAAUCUCAAGAACAUGUCGUAAUUCCAAAGUUUUGACUUGGAGGACGAUGAAGAGGAGGCUUCGUGGGUCGUCAUGGCGGUAUCCACCGUUAUGGCACUGCAGUGGUUCAGAUCACGACUGAAAAAUGGCAGUAGUUGUGCUCAUGCUGUCGAACGAAUGAUCCUGAAAUACCUAAAACCCAAGUCAAGCUCCUUCAGUCAACAAGAAUAAAGUUUUAAUAUAAUAAUGUUGGUGUAUGGACUUGAGAAACGACAUAAUGUUGGCCGGAAAGUGCAGAGAAAGAGAGAGGAAAAGAGGAACAAAAGGAGAAAGACUAUCCAAAUGAUUCUUGGCUGUGAUUACAGCUAUUCAUAGGAGAAACAACGUACAUAUUUUCAUAGGAGAAACAACUUGCCCAUCUUCAUAUAUAAUACAUUUCAACAGACAUAUUUUAAUAGGAGAAACUAGGGGUGGGCAAACGGGUCCAGGAACCGCAGGUCGGGGCGGGUAAUGGCGGUUCAGGGCGGGUACAGGCCGGGUCUUAUUUUUUUAAAGAAGAAACGGGGUGGGGGCGGGGAGGUGGUAUUUAUGGGGCGGGUCGAGUUCAAAUUUGUACAAGCAUGGGGCCCCGGGCCGACCCGUUCCUAAAAUGGACUGAUUGGAACCUGGACAAUAUGUUGUGGGCUUACUACACAAGGCAAUGGCCCAUGUGGGCUUACUGCUCGAAUACUCUAGAAACUAUGAUCCGACUCCUAUCUCUCCUGGAUCGAUCCCCAAAUCCCACUACUCUCUCUCCUCGUCGGCAUCACCGAACACAGAACCACCGAUUCACCACCAUCGUCACCCAUCACCGCCGUGGCGACCAUCACCAUCGCAGACGCUAUUAACCGUUAGUUUCACCCUAGGUCUCCCCUAUGUCUAUCACUCAAGUCCUCGAUCGUUUCUCUCCCGCGUGCGUCAUUCCCUCCACGGUUCUUCCACUACACUCUGUCACUCUCCGUCACUCUCCGUCAGUCACCUCCUCCACCACCCCGACAUCAACCCCGUCGCGAGUCUGGGCCCUGGCGACCACCACGACGAGCCAGCAACCUCGAUUGUCUUCCUCGAGUCCUCGAUGGCAUCCCAGAUUUAGAGAACUUUAGGGUUCUCUUUCUCCCUCCCACCCCUCGAAUCGACUGCGUCGACAUCAAAUCAGCCACCACACGAGUCACGAGGCUUCAAAUUCGGCUGGUGACUGCCCAAUCUGGUGCGACUCAACCGAUUCCGAGCGCUCUUGACUCUGUCGACGAAGAAGAAGAAGAGAAGAAAAAAAAAAAUAACCCGUGGACCCGGGCCGGGUUAGGUCAGGUUUCUGUGUUAAAAUUAGUUGUACCCGCCCCUGCCCGACCUGUUUCUUUUAAACCUGGGUCCGGCCGGUCCCUUCAAAAUUGGGCCCGGCCCUGGGCCCGGCCCGGCCCAUGCCCAGCCCUAGGAGAAACAACUUUAGUUUUUACUAGAAAUUUUUACCCACACGUUGCUACAGGAUUUGAAAUUGUAUAAAAGAUUAUCUUUGAAAUAUAUAAUAGAUUGUGUGAUUGAAGAUUAAUACUAUUUACACUGAAAACGUUGGGAAAAGUUUUACAUACAAAAGAUUUUACAAUACAAUCCACAUACAAAAGAUGGUAAAUUUUUUUCUAUCUACAUGCAUUAUGUUAUGGAAUGAUAUAUAUAUAACUAAGUUCCAGAAUACGUAAAUUUCAUAAUUUCGAAUUUUUUUGACAAAUUAAUCAGAUUCAACUGUGGGAUAGAAAGGUCGCCUAUAAAGUUGUGAAGUCGUGGAAGCAUAAAGGACAAAUAACAAAUGAGUUUUGAGAAAUUAUUCCACAAAAGUCAUUUUGCAAAAUGCAAAUGUAUUAAAGACGAUUGGUACAAGAUUAGUAAUCAUAAGUAGUGUAACAACAUCAACAAAAUAACUAUAAACCAUAGUUGAACAUAAUUCAAAUUUCGUUUGCAAAAACAAAAGAAAAAGAAAGAAAACAUACUUACAAUAAUUCAGCCUUUAAUCCUAAAGUCCUACUCAAAGAUCCAAACUUGAAUGCAAGCUUUCUGAAAUCUUCCAAACAAUACAGAUAAAAAGGUAACACCCUAGUCAGAAAUGAACCAAGGUGCGAGCUUUCUUAGAAACUCAGAUGAAAAAAUCAACAAAAUAGAAUGAAAAAAUGACUUACACUUUUAAGGCAUGCUCGAAUCGUGAUCUAAAAUUGGUGGUGGGUCGAUUGUUGGUCACCAACUCUAAAUGAAGAAUUCAUCAGAACCUAGAAAUUUAACAAAGAAUUUUCCAAAAUCAACAUUUACUAAAAACCAGUUACUUGGUUAUCAUGCAUGAUGGCUUGCCAAAGACUAAAUUAAGGAAUGCACAACUUUACCUUUAUGAUAUUUUCAAUGACAGCUAAAAGGUCAGAUUCAAAUGAAAAUAAAAGUUAGGACUUCACAAAACCAAUUAAAAAUCUAAUUCCAAAGUUACAAACACCAACCAAAUGAUUCCAGAUAAAGUUUUAAACUCAAAGUCAGACCCAAAUGAAAUUAAAAGUUAGGACUUCACAAAACCAAUUGAAAAUCUGAUUCCAAAGUUCCAAACACCCACCAAAUGAUUCUGGAUAAAGUUUAAACUCAAAAACCCAACAGAAACAAAAACCCAAAGUUCCAAACACCCACCAAUUGGUGUGACUUAAUUGUAUCUAAUUGAAGAAACUAAAACAAAAAUAAAGCAAAGUAUAUACCUCAAAAUAUCAACCAACUAAGUUCUUCCUCCGACAACCCAAAACUCUGAAAAUUCCACACAAAAAGGGUAAAUCCGUAAGCAAUUCAUAGCUUUCAAAAUUAACAAAAACUUGGGCAACAAUAAAGACACGUUGAGAACCAUCACUCUUUCUCCUUGUGUAUUUGAAAAUAUAUUUUAUAAGCAGUUUAUGUAGUCAUUCUGAUCAUGUUGCAGUUAAAUUCCUUUUCCACAGAGUUCAAAAUUAUAUGGCAGUUUAUGGCAUCUGUUGAACAACAUGGUUGAAAGAUUUAAAAUUGAUACAUUCAAUUUUUAUGUGUAAAACUAUAACAUAUACCUAAAGCUAUUUGGUCUAUAUAUCCAUAUCAAUCAUGUUGUAAUUAAAUGUUUAUCGAUGUAAAUAGAUGAUUUCAGUCAUGUGAUAACAUGUUUCUUGUUAGUAUACGCUGAAGUUUGGUCUAAGUUGGAUAAAAAUCGACCAAAAUCUUAGUAAGAGACUCUUUUAACUUUUAACCAAAAAAUGAGCACCACAAUACUACACUCAUAAGUUUUAUCAUGCACAAAAUAUACAACACUGAUAGCCACUUUUAGAGCAAGAACAAUACUUUACCAGACGAAAACAACAAAACACUCAAAACCCAGAAACAGAAACACACUUAGGACUCAAACUCCUCAAAAACAUAAGAAAGAGAGUGCAUGAGGAGAGAGAAUAAAAAAAAAUAUUAUUUUUCACAAACUCAAAAUUGCUUAUAAAAUUACAAAUCAAAACAAAUGAAUGCAAAUCCAAAAUUGCCCUAAAUUAAAUCUGUUUAGUUAAAUGUUUGUUGCCCUUCAAAUGUCAUUACACCUGACAAUUGCUUUGAAGUUGAUAUUUUGGUCAAUCCAGGGGAAAAGGAGUUAUUUCUUUUGGAGCAGUUGUCAUGGAGAAUCCCAUCUCCAUGUUGAAUGAUCUAAAAAAUUACUUACAUCUUCUGGUGGCCACAAUAAUUUAGGAGGCCCUUCUCUCCAGAUUUUCUCAAUAACUUUGCUUUUCGUAGCUGGUAAGAUUGCAACUCCAAGAAUUGCUCUGAAGAGAUAUAUACAAACAAAAUCAACCUAAAACUAAGCUAUUGGAACAAAUUUGGAAAACACAAACACCACUACAACUCAGAGUUAAAGUCAAUAGAAACCAAAUGGGAGAAGUUGAAAAAAUAUAUGGUCAUGAAUCGAGAACUUCAUCAAACUAACAGCAAUAAAAUCUCAUAUAAUCUGUCUAAAACCAAAAGAGAGAGAGAGGUAAUUUCAAGACCUUGUAACGCUAAGGCCUCGUACAGUUGUAGUAAUAAUAUAUGGUUGAUGCACCUGUUGCUCAAUCAAAUCCUUUGUCUGGCUAAAAAAAUAAAAAUCUAUAAAUACAUUCACGUCCAAUUUAUGAGAAAUCAUGGGAAAGCAAAUGCACUGAUAACGGAAUCAUGAAUAUGAAGAACUUGCCAAAAAGAAAAAGAAAACUUCUUAUAGUGUGCCAAGAACAUCCUCCUACUCCUAGCAAAUUUUUUAUGGCAUUAUCCACUUCUCAAUUCAUAAUUCAACCAGUAACUCAAAGUCUAUAGUGUAUGAAAAAGUGAUAUCUUAGUUGAUCACGAUGAUAAUUAAGCAGAUUAAAUGACGACCCAUAAAGCAUACAAAUUCAGAAAAGAAAAGGUUCAAAACUGCCAUAAGAAAACACAGAAUAUAUAAACGGGAAAUCAAAAGAAGAGAAGCGAAAAGGAAGAAAAAACCAAACAAAAUUAUUAGGUUUGUGAUAUACCUUUAUCCGAAACGCCACAAUCAUCAAAGUCAAACAUAAACAAUCCAAAAAUUUGUGGAAAAUAACAAUAAAUGCUUAACUAAAAACGAAAGAAAACGUAGAAUAAGUUUACAUGUUCUCCCCCUAAUUAAACUGGAAUACAAUUCACCACUAAUAUUCUCGUCAUCCUCUUCAGCCUGAAAAAUUUAGUAGAAAUAUUCAAUGAAGACGCUUAAUGGAGACAGUAAUAUUAGCAAUGGAGGAAUUGAAUUGAUAACUAAAACUGCAAGACCAAAUGACUACAAUAGGUUCACAACAGAAACUCGUCUGUUAGAUGUCUCAUCUUUAGGCAGUGCCUUGUUCUUUUUUUUUCUUUUUUGUCCUUUUGAAUUUCGGCAACAACAACUUUAAUAUCCUUACCUGCAUUUACCAUGAUUGGUCACUCUCAAAACCUUACCUAAGAGACCCAAAAACCAAAAUAACUGCCAAAAGAGCUGAACAUACAUAUCUAGAAAAACUUAUUCAACUACAUGCUAAAAUGGAAGUGUAAAAUUGCCAGGAAAGAUAAGAAACUAUUCAAAUACGAGUUCUGGGCGUUACUGCCACAAAAGGCACGAGCCGAGCGGCUAUCAACAAGAACACACUUCACAUUUGGGUCAGAUUCCCAUUCAUCCAGAUAGCUCUUGUAUUUCACAUCCAAAUCUGCAUUUUCCAACAAUUCCCACUUAAACAGAAACACAAAAUUCUUCCAAAAAGAGCUAACUUCUUCGAAAUUUGAAUCUAACGUUUCGUCUUAUAACAAAUGCAAUAACAUAGACUUGUAAUCAAUACGAUGCCAUAAAGUUCAAGCUCAAAAAUUCAAAUCAUCUCCAAAUCAAAAGCAAUUACAGAUAUACACAUGUAUACAUAUGCGUUUGUGUGUUUAUCUACAUACCUAGGUUUAUGGCGUUGAGAGCUCGGGGGGCGACCGAGGGUGAUGACGGCGACGCCAAAGGUGCGGAGAAGGCGAGGGGAUUUGCUCAGAAUUUGGGUCGCUCGUCCCUCUUAUGAGAGUGACUCAAAAAUCGAAAAAGUUGAAAUUUAUUGAUUGUGAUCUGACUCAAACAUGUGAUGAUGACGAUGCAUCACCACCUUGGUUGUGCCUCUGGAUCAAAAACCCACCAUCACCAUCAAAAUCGUGCUCAUUUUCCUUCAUAGGUUUGUCCCAUACUAGAUUAACCCCUGUUCCCUUAAUUGUCACAUUAUCUAAUGUAACGUAUGGCUCUGGCAUUUCAAAAGUUAUAUCAACUGUAUCCCCGCUUUGCAAAUUGAGCUUAUCGUUCGAUAUUUGUCCCUGCCAAAGAAAACAUUCUUUAUAUACAACAUCGCGCAUGAGGUUUUUUCUUUUUUUGGCGUAACAAUCGCGCAUUUUUAUAACCCAAUCUUCCUUGCUUAUGCAGGUCCGCAACUCAGUACGCUUGGUAUUAUUUAUAUCAAUCCUGGCAAGAGGAUGACUAUCUUUACAUCUGAUAUAAGGGCCGAACUGAGAAGGACUUGAGCAAUAAAAGCAUAACAGAGUCAGCCCUUCAAAAUUACAACCAUCACUCGGGGGGAUAUCAAAAGUGAUUUUAUUACCAUCGUUGACAAACUCGAACCAAUCAGGAACAUAAUUCCCAUUGAGAAAAAUGCCACCAUAUCCGCAAGAAGUCCAUCCCUAUAUACACAGUGCAAGUGUCAUAUAUAUAUACAUGUACAUGUGCGUUGUGUGUGUGCAUGUGCCCAAUAGGAAGACAAUUAAAGAGAGAGAUACCUUUAGGACUUUCCUCAUAAAAUCAGCGGUGAGUUCGGCGCAAUACGUCAUAUCAAUCCAUGUCAUGGAGUUUAAUGACUUAUCCAAGUCUGGAACCUCAGUGAGUGCAUGUGAAUCACGUACAUUUAGCUCUCUUAUAUUCGACAUUUUCGAAAAAUUUGGCAUUGUUAUCAAACGAUAGCAACGAGACGCAUCCAGAAAUUUCAAAUUUGUUGGUAAACCAUAGAUUGUAUGAAGGUUAUGGCAGUAACCUAACCACAAAUUUUCAAGCUUUGAAAGACCACUGAGGCUGGGUAGGGUAUGAAAAUCAUUAGAUGAGAGAUCUAAAUUUCUUAAAAAGUCUAAGCUGAGUAACGAAUCGGGAAAUUGCAAAUGAGUGAGAUUCGUCAAUCCUAGAGAUAAAUGAGUGAGAUUCUUCAAUCUUACUGUGGAACGCGGUACUUGUCUUAUGGCUGUCUCAUAUGCUUUAAGUACUCUCAAUGAUAUCAUAUUCCCUAAAUCCUCGGACAGUUCACUGAAUUGCCCACAAAAAAUCAAGAACAAGAGUCUGAACGGAUUUGGACCUGUAGAAAUCCCCAGGAAGAGAAAUAAGAUUCUUGCAGCCUGUGAGGUUCACCAAAGAAAGUUUUUUAAGAUGACCAAUGGAGGGGUGAAUCUCGGACAAACUCUCACACCAUUCCAAUAUCAACUCUUCAAGACUUGGGAGAUUUGAUAAGUCUGGUGAUUUUUCUAAGUCAGAGCAACCACUGAAAUCAAGGAUUUUCAAGUUUUUAAGCGACUGUUGCACAAAAUCCAAGAAAAAUUAAAAUUAAUAUCCAAAAGGAAUAUCUCAUAAAAUAAAUAAAUAAAGAGAGAAGGAAAUCCAAAAACAAAUAGAAACUUAACAUCAUCAUGUGUAAUCGAUUGUACCUUCGAGCCCUCCCAAACUUGUACCAGUUUGCUAUACUUUAUCUCUAAAAUAACUAGUCUUGGUUGAUCAAAGAAGUCAUCUGGUAUGGACUUUAAAGGGCAUUCAUUCCAACACAACCAUAUUAACUCUUUGGGGAGAUGUUUGUAUUCUCCAUUGAGUUGCACGUUGUAGAGCUGGAGCAGUCUCAGUUUCUUCAUAUUGGCAAAUGCUUCUGUACUGAUACUUGGAGACAGAAGAUCAGGGAAACCUACAACAAGUCCUUCAACUUCUUUAGUUCCCUGUUAACAACACAUUAUACUGGGUAAGAAAAGGAUUAUGUGCAUCUAUUUUACGUGAUUUUGCUAAUUGAGCUUCUUAAUGCGAAUACAUAUAUUUACACAUAAAGGUCGUACCCAGUGCACAAGGCUCCCGCUUUACGCAGGGUCUGGGAGAGGUGAAUGUCGGCUAGCCUUACCCCCAUUUAUGGAGAGGCUGCUCCCAAGUCUCGAACCCGAGACCUACCGCUCAUGGGCGAAGGCACUUGCCAUCGCACCAAGUGCGACCUCUGAAUACAUAUAUUUACACAUAAAUGUUUUUAAUGUAUGACAGCUAUACGUGGGUUACAUAUUUGCUUUUCUUGUACGAUGCAUUAAUACAAAAUUUUAUAGGGAAUGUACUUACAGAUUUAUCUCUCAAUACAUCAGUGACCUCCUGCUGGUUCCACAACCUACUCCAUUCUCCAGGGUGACGAGGGGAUUUUUCAGAAAUGAUUAAUUUGGCCAUUUCUCGAAGCAAAUCAUGUAUAUUCAACUUGUUGUCUUCAACAGUUAUAAGGCAUCAUUCACGAAGGACACUCAUUCCUAUUGUCGCAAAAAAGUCACAUCCAUCUAAUAUUUUUGUGACAUAGUCAUUAUCCCAUCCAAUGAAGAAACAAGAUAUGUCAAGGAAUAUAGCCUUCUGUUUAUCAUCUAGCCCUUCAAAGCUUAUUCUUAGUCGUUGUAUUAUUUCUCCUUCAGGAGUUGUUUUCAAUUUUACCAAUUGAUUUUCCCACUCUGCUAUGGUUCUUCCAAUUAAAAAAGUGCCUAAAACUUCAAGUGCUAGUGGCAAACCUCCACAGUAAGAAACGAUCUUCCUUGAGAGUUCAAGAUAUCCUUCAUUAGGCCAACAAUUUCUAAAGGCAUGCCAACUAAAGAGCUCCAGAGCUUCUUCUUCAUUCAUUUUAUGAAGCGGAUAUAUCUUGUCCACUCCAACUUGGCGUAGUAAAUGUUCAUCUCGUGUCGUUAUGAUAAUUCUACUUCCUAAGCCAAACCAAUCACAAUUUCCAGCUAUUGCAUUUAGUUGUUUCAUUUUGUCUACAUUGUCAAUAAUGACAAGUACGCUUCUACGUUGGAGAUGAUAUUUUAUCAGGCCGAUACCUUCAUCAACACUGGUUAUCUCAGGCUUGGUCUGUUUCAAGAUGUCAGAAACAAGUUUUUUUUGCGAAACAACCAGAUCUUUUUCACUAACGUUGUCAAGGAAACUUUUGAAUUGGAACUCAUGAUGAAUUUUGUUAUAAAUGGCUUUGGCAGCUGUUGUUUUACCCAAUCCACCCAUCCCCCCAAAUUCCAACCAUGCGAACAUCAUCUGAUCCACCACUUGAAAGAUAACUGAUAAUAUCUUGAACGCGAGAAUUGAUUCCAACCAGGUGAUUGGCCACAUGUAAUUUGUUUGCUCUCCGAAGCCAUUCCGGAAUAAUCUUGUCAACAAUUUCUCUAAUACGCUGUGCUUCGCAACUGAAAAUUGAAUUGGCAAGCUUAGUAAGCUCAGUAGGAGCUAUUAGUACACAAACAAUUUUCUUUCCUUCGUGUGUGUGUGUGUGUGUGUGUGUGUGUGUGUGUGUAUACACACUAACUAGCUACUAGCUAGUAUGUGAGUUUGUGAUCAACUUCAAUAAAAGAAACAAAUUCAUUCACUGAUAUAUUAAAGUUUGGUGUAUCAAUUAAACUCAUUAUGGUUUAGAUUUUAGAAGAAAUUGGAGAAAUGGUCCAUGAACUAUGAUCGAAUUGUAGCUUUGGUUCUUAAACUAAAAAUUCAUUAAAUCUCGUCCCUGAACUUAACAAAAUAUGGAACAUUGGUCCCUCCAUGUUAACACCGUAAGAUUUUCUGUUAAUUUGAUAACGUCGUCUUUGUGGGCUCCAUAUUUUUGUUUAUUAGAUGCCACGUUGCUUGAAAAUUCAAAUAAAAGAAAAUAAAUACAAGCAUUGAGAAACAAAGAGAAAAAAAAAUACUUUAAAUUAUAAAAGUUAACUCUCUCCCAUCCUCCCUUCCGCCUCACCUUCUCCAAACCCCAGCCACACCAUUGUAGCACUUUCCCAACAGCCAAAACAAAAGAAAAGUUCCUCAUCCAAAUUUGGAACACACCUCACCUUGCAAACGACUUCACAAUGACAUUCAUCUACGCUGUCUCGAAAGGUAAGAUUCAAGAAAUUUGUGGGAUGCGGGUUCGGGGUUCGGGUGAAGGCUGUGGUCCGUGGGCUAAAGGUUGGGGUCGGCUGGGGAGUGGGGAUUAGGGAUUGGGGGUUGGAAGUGGGAGGUUGACGGGGUGGGAAUCAACGAUUGAAGGUGAAGGGGUGGGCUGCGAGCCUGCGAGUGUUGGUGGGAUGAGGUAGGCCUGCAAUUAUAUAUAUAUAUGUAUGUAUGUAUGUAUGUAUGUAUGUAUGUAUAUAUAUAUGUAUGUAUGUAUAUAUGUAUAUAUAUGUAUGUAUAUAUAAUAUAGGUGAAACUAACAUGUAAAGUUGUAAACACUUUUAACUAAAACUGAAAGGAAUUGGUUACGAAGGACUAACGCUCCAUAUUUUAUCAAGUUCAAGGACAAAAUAUAAUGAAAUUUUAGUUUAGGAACCAAAGCUACAAUUUUCCUCUAGAUUUGAUAUGAGAUUUAAGGCGUAUUAAUUAAGCAUGUUAAUUAGAGUAAUGCAACUUAGAUAUUGAAAAGCACGUGAAUGAUUACCUAUUAUCAGUGAUUUGAAGAUGGUAGCCAGACAAAUUUGCAGCUUCUCUAAGAGCAUUUCUCCACUGCUUUACCCUUUCUUGUUUUUCUUCACGUUUCUUGUCAUCUUUUUCUUUACGAAUGUUCUUUUUGUGUUUCUUAAAUGCUUGGGCUAAAACUCCAUUCUGGUUCCUGACAUGUGAAGGAUCAACGUGAUAGAAUAUUGGCAAAACAUGGCGCUCCAGUUUGUCUCUGCACUCGAUGAUCUUCAUCAGCUCAUUAAGACACCAACUCGAACUCGCAUACCUCUUUGAGAAGACAAUGAUAGAGAUCUUCGAUUCUUCGAUUGCCUGGAACAGUUCUUUUUGUAUUUCUUCCCCUCUUUUUAGAUCGUCCUCAUCAAUAUAAGCCUGGUAUCCCCUGUCCGUUAAUGCCCUGUGGAGGUGGCCCGUGAAACCAUUGCGUGUGUCUACACCGCUGAAGCUCAAGAACACGUCGUAAUUCCAAAGUUUUGACUUGGAGGACGAUGAAGAGGAGGCUUCGUGGGUCGUCAUGGCGGUAUCCACCAUUAUGGCGCUGCAGUGGUUCAGAUCACGACUGAAAAAUGGCAGUAGUUGUGCUCGUGCUGUCGAACGGAUGAUCCUGAAAUACCUAAACCCAAGUCAAGCUCCUUCAGUCAACAAGAACAAAGUUUUAAUAUAAUAAUGUUGGUGUAUGGACUUGAGAAACGACAUAAUGUUGGCCGGAAAGUGCAGAGAAAGAGAGAGGAAAAGACGAAUGAAAGGAGAAAAGACUAUCCAAAUGAUUCUUGGCUGUGAUUACAGCUAUUCAUAGGAGAAACAAUGGACAUAUUUUCAUAGGAGAAACAACCUGCCCACUUCAUUUAUAAUAUAUUUCAACAGAGAUAUUUUAAUAGGAGAAACAACUUUCGUUUGUACUAGAAAUUUUUACCCGCGUGUUGCUACGUGAUUUGAAAUUGUAAGAAAGAUUAUCUUUGAAAUAUAUAAUAGAUUGUGUGAUUGAAGAUUAAUACUAUUUACAUUGAAAACGUUGGAAAAAGUUUUACAUACAAAAGAUUUUACGAUACAAUCCACAUCAAAAGAUGGUAAAUUUUUUUCUAUCUACAUGCAUUAAGUUAUGGAAUGAUAUAUAGAUAUAUAUAUAUAACUGAGUUCCAGAAUACGUAAACUUCAUAACUUGGAAAUUUUUUGACAAAUUAAUCAGAUUCAACUGUGGGAUAGCAAGGUCGCCUAUAAAGUUGUGAAGUCGUGGAAGCAUAAAGGACAAAUAACAAAUGAGUUUUGAGAAAUUAUUCCACAAAUGUCAUUUUGCAAAAUGUAUUAAAGACGAUUGGGUACAAGAUUAGUAAUCAUGAGUAGUGUAACAACAUCAACAAAAUAACUAUAAUCCAUAGUUGUUGAACAUAAUUCAAAUUUCGUUUGCAAAAACAAAAGAAAAAGAAAACAGACUUACAAUAAUUCAGCCUUCAAUCCUGAAGUCCUACUCAAAGAGCCAAACUUGAAUGCAAGCUUUCUGAAAUCUUCCAAACAAUACAGAUAAAAAGGUAACAUCCUAGUCAGAAACGAACCGAGGUGCAAGCUUUCUUAGAAACCCAGAUGACAAAAUCAACAAAAGAGAAUGGAAAAAUGACUUACACUUUUAAGGCAUGCUCAAAUCUUGAUCUAAAAUUUGUGGUGGGUCGAUUGUUGGCCACCAACUCUAAAUGAAGAAUUCAUCAGAAACUAGAAAUUUAAACAAAGAAUUUUCCAAAAUCAACAUUUACUAAAAACCAGUUACUUGGUUAUCAUGCAUGAUGGCUUGCCAAAGACUGAAUUAAGGAAUGCACAACUUUACUUUUUAUGAUUAUUUUCAAUGAUAGCUAAAAGGUCAGAUCCAAAUGAAAAUAAAACUUAGGACUUCACAAAACCAAUUAAAAAUCUAAUUCCAAAGUUACAAACACCCACCAAAUGAUUCCAGAUAAAGUUUUAAACUCAACGUCAGACCCAAAUGAAAUUAAAAGUUAGGACUUCACAAAACCAAUUGAAAAUCUGAUUCCAAAGUUCCAAACACCCACCAAAUGAUUCCGGAUAAAGUUUAAACUCAAAAACCCAACAGAAACAAAAGCAUUGGUGUGAAUUAACUGUAUCUAAUUGAAGAAACUAAAACAAAAGUAAAGCAAAGUACAUACCUCAAAAUGUCAAGCAACUAAGUUCUUCCUCCGACGACCCAAAAUUCUGAAAAUUCCACACAAAAAAAGAGUAAGCCCAUUAGCAAUUCAUAGCUUUCAAAAUUAGCAAAAACUUGGGCAACAAUAAAGACGCGUUGAGAACCAUCACUCUUUCUCCUUAUAUAUUUGAAAAGAUAUUUUAUAAGCAGUUUAUGUAGUCAUUCAGAUCAUGUUGCAUAUAAAUUCCUUUUCUACAGAGUUCAUAAAAGUAUGGCAGUUUAUGGUAUCUGUUGAAUGACAUGGUUGAAAGAUUUCAAAUUGAUAUAUUCAAUUUAUGUGUAAAACUAUAACAUAUAGCUAAAGCUAUUGGGUCUAUAUAUCCAUAUCAAUCAUGUCGUAAUUGAAUGUUUAUCAAUGUAAAUAGAUGAUUUCAGUCAUGUGAUAACAUGUUUCUUGAUAGUAUACGCUGAAGAUUGGUCUAAGUGGGAUAUGAAUCGACCAAAAUCUUAAGAAGAGACUCUUUUAACUUUUAACCAAAAAUGAACACCACAGUACUACACUAAGUUUUAUCAUGCAUAAAAUACACAACACUGAUUGCCACUUUUAGAAAACAACAAAACACUCAAAACCCAGAAACAGAAACACACUUUAGGACUCAAACUCCCCAAAAACAUAUGAGAGAGAUAGAGAGAUAGAGAGAGAGAGAGAGAGAGAGAGAGAGAGAGAGAAUAAAAACAAUAUUAUUUUUCACACAAACUCAAAAUUGCUUAUAAAAUUACAAAUCAAAACAAAUGAAAGCAAAUCCAAAAUUGCCCUAAAUUAAAUCUGAUUAGUUAAAUGUUUGUUGCCCUACAAAUGUCAUUACACCCGACAAAACUUGCUUUGAAGUUGAUAUUUUGGUCAAUCCGGGGGAAAAUGAGCUAUUGCUUUUGGAGCAGUUGUCAUGGAGAUUACCAUCUCCCUGUUGAAUGAUCUAAAAAAGGACUUACAGCUUCUGGUGGCCAUAAUAAUUUAGGAGGUCCUUCGCUCCAGAUUUUCUCAAUAACUUUCCUUUUCGUGGCUGGUAGGAUUGCAACUCCAAGAAUUGCUCUGAAGAGAUAUAUGCAAACAAAAUCAAACUAAAACUAAGCUGUUGGAAGAAAUUUAGAAAACACAAACACCACAACUCAGAGUUAAAGUCAACAGAAACCAAAUGGUAGAAGUUGAAAAAAAUAUAUGGUGAUGAAUCGAGAACUUCAUUAAACUAACAGCAAUAAAAUCUCAUAUAAUCUGUCAAAAACCAAAAAAGAGAGAGGUAAUUUCAAAACCUUGUAACGCUGAGGCGUCGUACAGUUGUAGUAAUAAUAUAUGGUUGAUGCACCUGUUGCUCAAUCAAAUCCUCUGUCUGGCUAAAAAAAUAAAAAUCUAUAAAUACAUUCACGUCCAAUUUAUGAGAAAUCAUGGGAAAGUAAAUGCACUGAUAACGGAAUUAUGAAUAUGAACUUGCCAAAAAGAAAAAGAAAACUUCUUAUAGUGUGCCAAGAACAUCCUCCUACUCCUAGCAAUUUUUAAUGGCAUUGUCCACUUCUCAAUUCAUAAUUCAACCAAUAACUCAAAGUCUAUAGUGUUUGAAAAAGUGAUAUCUUAGUUGAUCACGAUGAUAAUUAAGCAGAUUAAAUGAUGACCCAUAAAGCAUACAAAUUCAGAAAAGAAAAGGUUCAAAACUGUCAUGAGAAAAUACAGAAUAUAUAAACAGGAAAUCAAAAAAAGAGAAGUGAAAAAGGAAGAAACAACCAAACAAAAUUAUUAGGUUUGGGAUAUACCUUUAUCUGAAACGCCACAAUCAUCAAAGUCAAACUUAAACAACAACAACAACAACAACAACAACAAAGCCUUUUCCCACUAAGUGGGAAAGUCAAACUUAAACAAUCCAAAAAUUUGUGGAAAAUACCAAUAAAUGCUCAACUAAAAACGAAAGAAACGUAGAAUAAGUUUACCUGUUCUGCCCCUAAUUAAACUGGAAUACAAUUCACCACUAAUAUUCCUUGGUGUAUGCUUUUCGCAGACGAUAUAGUGUUGAUAGAUGAAACUCAGGAAGGGGUAAAUGCAAAGCUUAACCUUUGGAGAGAAGUGUUGGAAUCUAAAGGUCUUCGCCUAAGCCGAUCAAAGACAGAAUAUAUGGAGUGCAAGUUCAGUGCAAAUGGAGGCCAAAACGAGUUAGGGGUGAGGAUCGGAGAUCAAGAAAUACUAAAGAGCGACCGUUUUCGUUACCUAGGAUCUAUCUUGCAAAAGAACGGAGAAUUAGAUGGAGAUCUCAACCAUAGAAUACAAGCUGGAUGGAUGAAGUGGAAGAGUGCAUCCGGCGUGUUAUGUGACCGCCGUAUGCCACUGAAGCUCAAGGGAAAAUUUUAUAAGGACGGCAAUAAGGCCGGCGAUGCUGUAUGGCACAGAAUGUUGGGCGGUGAAACAUCAAACACGUACACAAAAUGGGUGUAGCGGAGAUGAGGAUGCUUCGUUGGAUGUGUGGGCACACGAGAAAGGAUAAGAUUAGGAAUGAGGAUAUCCGGGGUAAAGUAGGAGUAGCCGAAAUUGAAGGAAAGAUGAGAGAAAAUCGGUUACGGUGGUUUGGACAUGUGCAAAGAAAGGCCUACUGACGCUCCGAUUAGAAGAUGCGACUAUGGGACAGAGGUUCAGGGCCGAAGGGGUAGAGGAAGACCUAGGAAAACUUUGGAAGAGACUCUAAGAAAAGACUUAGAGUACUUGGAUCUAACGAAGGACAUGACACAGGAUCGAGCACAAUGGCGUUCUAAGAUUCAUAUAGCCGAUCCCACUCAGUGACUUGGAUUUUCCAAGUCUCCAACCGAGAAGUUUUCCUCACUCGGAAAAUUAAGGGAACACUACCCCAACCUACAUGCUCCACUCAGAAAGCUUCAACAUACAAGCUUCAACAAAAGAAAAUUCAAAGAACUUAGCGAAGAAGGCUUUGGUGUAUUAACACAAUACGUUGAAAUGAAGGAAAGCUUAUUUAUUGAUAUCCCCGAUAAGCUACAAAUAUGUACAUAUACAUGAGUCAAAAUAAACACACAAGAGGGAGCCUUCACAAAGGUUGCUUAGGAGAAGUCUCAGCAGUCGGUAGAGCCCCAGAAAGAGAAGGCACCGGAGGGGGAUCAUUUGGAGCCUCAGUACUGGACAGAACCCUAGAAGGAGGAGGCAUCAGAGGUUGAUCAUUUGGAGCUUCAUUACGCGGUACAGCCCCAGAAGACGAAGGCAAUAAAUGCCUUUGGAACAAACCCACAAAUCUCUGAUGAUCAAGUAAAACCUGACCAUCAGUUUCCUUCAUCUGGUCAAGCUUCCUCUUCAUGUUUGUAGCAUAGUCAUGUGCGAGCCGGUGCAACUGUUUAUUCUCAUGCUUGAGCCCUCUAAUCUCCUGUUUGAGACUCAUCACUUCAGCCGCCAAUGAUUCAACUUGGCGGGUUCGAGCAAAUAGGCGUUGGGCCAUAUUAGACACAGAACCUGCACACUGAACACUGAGAGCCAGCGAAUCCUUAACAGCUAACUCAUCAGACCGUUUGGAAAGUAGUCUGUUAUCUUUGGGAGUGAGAAGGUUCCUGGCCACCACCGCAGCGGUCAUAUCAUUCUUCAUCACGGAAUCCCCAACGGUAAGAGGACCAGUAGGGGAGACGAAGGAUGGGCGCCAUAUGUUGUCUGGAGAAGGCGGGGCUGCCUCUUCAACAAGGUUCAAGUCAAAACGACGGUCGGAGGGGCCAGACAUUUUCAAAGGUGUUGAAGAGAGAAGAGGUCGGACAAAUCAAGAUCUUAGAAGUGCAAGAAUGAAGCUUCUACUGGUGGAGAUUCAAGUGUGCUUUGGAACUUAAUGCCAGCCCCUAUAAAAAUCUGCACUCGACGGAGCUUCAGAAAAUCGAAGAGGCGCCUGCUCAGAAAUCGAAGAGGCGUUUGCUUUCUCAAAAGCUGGGCUGCUUAGAGAUCACGAGGGUUGAUCUCAGAAAUCGAAGAGGCGUUUGCUUUCUCAAAAGUUGGGCUGCUCAAAGACCACGAAGGCCGAUCUCAGAAAAUCGAAGAGGCGCUCGCUUUCUCAAAAGCUGGGCUCCCCAGAGACCACGAGGGCCGAUCUCAGAAAUCGAAGAGGCACCUACUUUUCCAGCCUUGUCAGCACCUGUCACACGCACACUCAGCUUUGCGGAAAUUAUGGGCAUUCUGUCGAAGACUUCUGGGGAAGUAGAAAACACAUGAAUCUUACUGUUCAAUCACCCACUUCCCACACGCAACAAUAGCUCAUGGGUACCACAGAUAACUUUGCCAAAGUUCUCUGCCAAAGUUGAGCACGUGAAGCUUGCAGCUCCCACUACAUCGCUCUGACCAAGAAGGGUAAAAGAAUAGCAAAGAAACAGCACUAACAAAGUUUAGACCCAUAAAUUUUGAAGGUCUAGCUACCAUAUUAUUACCCACAAGGGUAAAGGAACAGUACCACUGCUGGAUAAUUGGAAAGUCCCUGUGUGUCAACCUCUGUGCUUCGUGGCAAGGUAGACUAGCAAACAUGCCCAACCUUUACUCACAUUCGAGAAAACACUCCCAAUAAGAUUGCUUGCUCCAAAAUCGAAGAGGCACCGUCCUCCGAAUCUCGAGAGCCAGACUCCCAACAUGACUACUUUCUUAAAAAUCGAAGAGAGGGUAAAGGAACAGUACCAUUGCUGGAUAAUUGGAAAGUCCCUGUGUGUCAACCUCUGUGCUUCGUGGCAAGGUAGACUAGCAAACAUGCCCAACCUUUACUCACAUUCGAGAAAACACUCCCAACAAGAUUGCUUGCUCCAAAAUCGAAGAGGCACCCGCCCUCCGAAUCUCGAGAGCCAGACUCCCAACAUGAUUACUUUCUCAAAAAUCGAAGAGACACUGCUCCCCGAAUCUUCGAGAGCCAGACCCCCAGCAUGAUUGCUUUCUCAAAAAUCGAUGAGGCAUCGUUCUCCGAAUCAAUCGAAGAGGCGCUCGCUUUCUCAAAAGCUGGGCUGCUCAGAGACCACGAGGGCCGAUCUCAGAAAUCGAAGAGGCACCUACUUUUCUAGCCUUGUCAGCACCUGUCACACGCACACUCAGCUUUGCAGAAAUUAUGGGCAUUCUGUCGAAGACUUCUGGUGAAGUAGAAAGCACAUGAAUCUUACUGUUCAAUCACCCACUUCCCACACGCAACAAUAGCUCAUGGGUACCACAGAUAACUUUGCCAAAGUUCUCUGCCAAAGUUGAGCACGUGAAGCUUGCAGCUCCCACUACAUCGCUCUGACCAAGAAAGGUAAAAGAAUAGCAAAGAAACAGCACUAACAAAGUUUAGACACAUAAAUUUUUGAAGGUCUAGCUACCAUAUUAUUACCCACAAGGGUAAAGGAACAGUACCACUGCUGGAUAAUUGGAAAGUCCCUGUGUGUCAACCUCUGUGCUUCGUGGCAAGGUAGACUAGCAAACAUGCCCAACCUUUACUCACAUUCGAGAAAACACUCCCAACAAGAUUGCUUGCUCCAAAAUCGAAGAGGCACCGUCCUCCGAAUCUCGAGAGCCAGACUCCCAACAUGACUACUUUCUCAAAAUCGAAGAGAGGGUAAAGGAACAGUACCAUUGCUGGAUAAUUGGAAAGUCCCUGUGUGUCAACCUUUGUGCUUCGUGGCAAGGUAGACUAGCAAACAUGCCCAACCUUUACUCACAUUCGAGACAACACUCCCAACAAGAUUGCUUGCUCCAAAAUCGAAGAGGCACCCGCCCUCCGAAUCUCGAGAGCCAGACUCCCAACAUGAUUACUUUCCUCAAAAAUCGAAGAGACACUGCUCUCCGAAUCUCGAGAGCCAGACCCCCAGCAUGAUUGCUUUCUCAAAAAUCGAAGAGGCAUCGUUCUCCGAAUCUCGAGAGCCAGAUACCACAGACCACUUUUUCAAAGUGCUCUGACAGAGUUAAAACAUGUGAAACUGGCAGCUCCCACUACCGUGCUAUGACCAAGCAGGGUAAAGGAAUAGCAUUACUACUUGUUGUUAGGGAGACUCCUAUAUAUGUCGACCUCCAUCCCCAACGGACAGGCAGACCUGCAAAAAUGCUCAACCCUUCAUCAUAUCUGAGAGGGCACUCCCAACGAAGCCUUUCGAAAUAUUCAGCUUUCUUUCCCCCCGAUAAUACCUCUGCAAACAAGCUAUACUACUAGAGCAAGAAUAUCUCAUAUCAUCAGGGUUAAAAGCAAGAGUAUCCCAUAUCAUGCUUUUUCCCUGUCUUUUCCUUUGGCCUUGUUUUUUACCUGCAAGACAAGGAGAAAGAGAGAGCAAUCAGUCAGCACUUGGAAUCAAGCUUCCAGCCAGGAACUGACUGCCUGGAACCCCUUACCUGAUUACUUACCUGGCAUUGCUCUCGAGUACUCAUCUUCAACAUCUUAUGUUUCCAGGGAAGAUUCCGCAUCUGCUUGAGGAACAGAUAGGGCAAGUGCGAAGGAUACAAGGAAGCAUGUGGAGACAAGCGUAACAGCACACGUGCCGAUACAUCCAUUACUCUGUCAAAAGCAAAAGUAUCCCAUAUCAGCAGGGUGGAACGUACUCUAGAUUUGAUGGACUUGUUUUGACCCUCAAAUUCUUCAGUCGGCCUUAUACUCUGGAGGAAACCAGAAAACCCUCCAGCUCAGUUCAAGAAUAAGCCUGUGGAAAGUUACUUCUUCAAAAGCAAAAGUAUCUCUCAUAUCAUCUCUUCUCAUUUUUUCUUCUCUUUAUCCUUCAUGCUGCUGCAAGAUGGGGAGAAGGUGAACAAUCAGUCGGAGCUCUGAUUGCUUACCUUGUCUGUCACCUCUUUCAGCAGACCCCCUAGCUCGGCGACUUGGGGGACUCCUACUACAUGGUUUGUAUCGCGCUUGACCAAGCCUGAAACUACAAGUAAGCUUCAAGUGAAAUUGAUACAUUACCUUGUGCAUCUCCACCAGUUAAAGAUACCACCCCUGGAUGGAGGAAGAGUACUUCCAGAGAAGAUGCCACAUCUACCUAUGAGACAGAUAAGGCAAGUCAAGACGACACCACACUCCGAUACUUAGAAGUUUCGUGAUUACGAGAUCAUUCUCCCACAAUAUUUCCUAAUGUCAUUUGUACUAAAUCAUUCACUUGUACUCACUAAAGGAGAGCUUGAACCUAUGUACUUGUGUAAACCCUUCACAAUUAAUGAGAACUCUUCUAUUCCGUGGACGUAGCCAAUCUGGGUGAACCACGUACAUCUUGUGUUUGCUUUCCUAUCUCUAUCCAUUUAUAUACUUAUCCACACUAAUGACCGGAGCAAUCUAGCGAAGAUCACAAAAAAGCGACCGUUUUCGCUACCUAGGAUCUAUCUUGCAAGAGAACGGAGAAUUAGAUGGAGAUCUCAACCAUAGAAUACGAGCUGGAUGGAUGAAGUGUAAGAAUGCAUCCGGCGUGUUGUGUGACCGUCGUAGGCCACUGAAGCUCAAGGGAAAAUUUUAUAGGACGGCAAUAAGGCCAGCGAUGUUGUAUGGCACAGAAGAAUGUUGGGUGGUGAAGCAUCAACACGUACACAAAAUGGGUGUAGCGGAGAUGAGGAUGCUUCGUGGGAUGUGUGGGCACACGAGAAAGGAUAAGAUUGGGAAUGAGGAUAUCCGAGGUAAAGUAGGAGUAGCCGAAAUUGUAGGAAAGAUGAGAGAAAAUCGGCUCCGGUGAUUUGGACAUGUGCAAAGAAGGCUGAAUGACGCUCCGGUUCGAAGAUGUGACUACGGGACAGAGGUUCAGGGUUGAAGGGGUAGAGGAAGACCUAGGAAAACUUUGGAAGAGACUAUAAGAAAAGACUUAGAGUACUUGGAUCUAACGGAGGACAUGACACAAAACCGAGCGCAAUGGCGUUCUAGGAUUCAUAUAGCCGACCCCACUUAGUGGGAAAAGGCUUUGUUGUUGUUGUUGUUGUAUUCAAUGAAGAUGCUUAAAGGAGACAGUAAUAUUAGCAAUGAAGGAAUUUAAUUGAUAACUAAAACUGCAAAACAAAAUGACUACAAUAGGUUCAAAACAGAAACUCGUCCGAUAGAUAUCUCAUCUUUAGGCAAUGCCUUGUUCCCUUUUUUUUUUUUUUUUUUUUUUUUUUUUUUUGUUGCAUGUCUUGUGAACUUCAUGUAAAUCAACAAAAUUGAUACCUUAACCAACAAUGGAGAGGUAAAAAGUUAAAAACAGAAGGAAUGUCUUCAGUUUUGUAAUGGAUUUUGCAAGUCAAAUUCUGUUCGAGAAUUUGCAACCCAGAAAGUCCCAGCAAUUAUUAACAAUCACAGAUAAGCACCGAAUGAAGGCCAAUCUAAUAAGCCAAAAUAUGUAGGGCACUAAAGAAAUUAUUGCCCAGUAACAAUGAUAGAUAAGCACAUGUGAAACUAAAGAAAAUUUUCAUUACUAUCAACUCCAAAAAAAAUUACCUAUGCAAUCCAAAAAAUGUUGAUACAGAGUUGGAGUAUCGAUGCCUGAAAUUGGUAUUUGAACCACCAACUACCUCCGUGAAUAUGCUUGUCACUUAAUGGUUUGGGUUGAAGUUGUGAAAGGAAAUGUAAUUUCUUAAAAGGAAGGAGAGAAUGCAGAGAAGAAUACAGAAUGGUUCACGUGGCCACCGCAAAACAGGUUAAUAAUCAAGCUUCACUAUGAAUGGAAAGAUUAAUAGAUGAUAAUUAAGAAGGCCUGAUACCCAAGCCGAAAUCAGAGAUAUCCUUUGUAAACAAAGAGAUUGAACAUUUCCUCUCAAAAAAUAACUUUUUUUUUUGUUUUGGGGGGGAGGUUGGGAAGGCUCAGAAAAAGACAUCCAAUAUAAUACUUAUUGCAUGCAAGGUAUGAAACAGCCUCCCCCCGAGUAAAAUCACAGAAAUAAAAGAAAUCGAAUCAAGAAAAAAGAUAAUUACACAAGAAUUACACCUUCACUAAGAAAAUAAAUUAUAAAAACGAAGACUCUGAGAAUAAUUGCCUGUGAUUUGCUGCCAAAAACAAAAAUAAUGUCGUAUACAUUAAGCCUGCCGAUUACUAAAAACAAAACAUUUUUCCAUGAGAAGAAGUAAGAACAUACCGAAACUUGUUUGCUAAUAGAUGAGAAAAAUUUAUAACUGAAACAUAUAGGAAAUUUAUUAGGAAAAGAUAAACAAAACACCUAAAUUAAGCAAUUAAAUGGAGUAUUACUUGAUAGAGCUGGAAAAUUACCCAGUUCCUCAGAGAGAGGAUCAAGAGUGAAUGAUGAGAGUGCAGAGAAACGAAUGAUUGAGAAAUUCAAGCUCUGAGCUCACAGUUGGGGCUUCCACUUUCCAACUGGGGAAGAAAUAACAGAGAAAACACAAGGCCAAUCCACCAAAAAUAUUAAUCAAAUGGGUUUCUUCUAAUUCAAAAUUUUGACCACCCAAAUUCCGAUGAAGCAAUAAUUGUUCAAAAUUCCAACAGAUUGAAGGAAAAAGUAAUAAAUUUUUUUAAAACAGUAAUAAUGAAGGAAAAAGAAAUUAAAGCUGCGAGCCAUUCUCUAAAUCUCAGGCACCAAUCCAAAUCACCAGUAAUUUGCACAUAAUGAUAAGAAUCUAGCAAUACUUCCAUUGUUUAAAACCCAAAUUCCAGAAAUCAUGAAAAAUGGAAACUUUAUAUGGAAAUUGAAGCUUUACCUGCAGAUCAGCAGCAGCAAACGAAAUUCAAGAAGUCACGAUUAUCGACGCGUGGGUAGCAUUCCACUGUGCCAAGGACGAAAAUGAACGGGGAAUGUAGAGCUGGCUGACGAAGACAGGAUUCGCGAAGCGCUCUGAUUUUUUUUUUCACGAGAAUGCGGAAUGAAGAGAAGCGAGUAGAGGAGGAAUCAUUUUAAGCGAUGAUCGACGCGUGGAAAUUGAGGGCAAAUCUGCCAUUUUGCUGUGAACGAAAGUGAAAAAAGGCACAAUCAAAGAGUAAUUUGAGGGCAUUCUAGCCACUUUAAUAAACAGUAGCUUUGUGUUUGAGAUUUAAUAUAGGUAUAUAUAGAGCCCUACAGAGCAACUCCACCCAUGGAGCCCUCCUCUCUGACAAUCUACUAUUGAAUUCACCUUUUUGAACAGUAACUGCCUUUAAUAAAUAGUAACUACCAUUAAUGAACAAUAAUUGUCAUUUGCAUCUCCACCCUUGGAGCCCUCCCCCCUGGCAAUAGGCAAUAAAAUAUUAAUUUUUUUUGUUUGUUUAAAUAAUACAAAAUAAAAUUAUUUGUAAUUUUGGAUAAGAUUUUUUAAAUCGUUCUCGUUGCGCCACGUGUCAUUUUAUAAAAAAAACAAUUAUUUAGCGAUGGAUUUCGAUAAGAUUUUUAUCCAAUGUCAUCGUGUCACAUGUCGUUAUCUUUUGAUAAUCUUUGACGAUAUCUUUCGAUCAGAUUUUAACUCGUUCAAAAUUGCGUCACGUGUCAUUAUUCGAAAAGAUAAUUAUUGGAGAUCGAUUUCGAUAAGAUUUUUAUCCAAUACGAUCUUGUCACGUUUCAUUAUCUUUCAUAAUAUUUGAGGAUAGAUUUCGAUCAGAUUUUUAACGAAUGACGGCAUGCCACGUGGCCUUAUCUACAAUCCAAUCCUUUCUGAAUCAUCCAUAUAAUCCACCAUCCAUCCUCACAAAUCUCACACCAAAUUUCUCAACAUUUCUAUCUCAUUAUUCAUAGUUUCUGCUUCUUCUUCACCAUCCAUCAUUACAAUGUCUUCUUCUUCAUCAAGGAUGAUGUGGGAAAUCGAUCAGCAAGAGGAAGAAUUGUUUAACCAAUCUGAAGGAAUGUUCAACCUUCAGAUAGCCGAAAAUGAGAUGGAUGAGGAUGAGGAGCGUAGAAGGAGAGACGACGAAACAAGAAUGGCCAGAGCCUCACAUUCCCGUUGAGUCAUCCAGACUGUUGCUCAGAUAUGCAUGCCCAACCGUUCAAGAAACCUUGGUAGAAGCAGGCAACGAUGGGGUGAAGAGCUAUUGGACGAUUACUUUGUCCAUAACAGUGCAUUUCCUGAUACGUACUUCAGACGUCGUUUUAGAAUGGAACGACAUUUGUUCAACAGAAUCAUGACUGAUGUUUACAACCAUGAUUCUUACUUUGUGCAAAAGAAUGAUGCUUGUGGUGUUAUGGGUUUCCUGCCUGAGCAAAAAAUCACUGUUGCGUUGCGGAUGCUUGCGUAUGGAGCAUCUGUAGACCAAGUGGAUGAGAUAACGAGGAUGGGGAAAUCAACCAUUCUUGAGGCCCUUAUGAGGUUUUGCGGAGCAGUCGAAUCUUUGUACACCGCAUAGUACCUCCGAAAACCUACUUGUAGGGACUUGCAAAGGCUUCUGAAGAAGGGCGAGAUGCGAGGUUUUCCUGGGAUGAUAGGAAGCAUCAAUUGUAUGCACUGGACGUGGAAAAAUUGUCCAAGUGCAUGGCAAGGCGCAUAUGGGGACAUAAAAGGAUCAAAAACUAUCAUUUUGGAGGCAGUGGCAUCUUUUGAUACAUGGAUAUGGCACGCCUUUUUCGGGGUUCCGGGGGCUCAAAAUGAUCUCAACGUCCUUGCCCAAUCCCCAGCGUUCAACGACAUCCUGCAAGGAAAGGCACCAAAAGUCACGUACAUCGUCAACGGACGUAGGUACGACGGGCCAUACUAUCUAGCUGACGGCAUUUACCCACGGUGGGAAACAUUUGUCAAAACAGUGCCACGUCCGCGAAGUGCAAAGGAAAAACACUUUGCAAGCUGUCAAAAGGGGUGCAGGAAGGAUGUGGAGCGUUGUUUUGGUAUCCUUCAAGCUCGUUGGGCGAUCGUCAGGGGUGCUGCCAGAAUGUUCGAUGUAGAGUCACUUUGAUCCAUCAUGAUGACAUGCGUCAUUCUUCACAAUAUGAUUGUGGAAGAUGAGUUCGAUUAUGAUGCGGUUGAUGAAUAUGAGCCAGAGCCAGACACGAUGAACAAUUCAAGAACACGGAUAUAUUGUGCGCAUGAUGCCACCAAAGAACCCGUGCAACAUGAGCCAUUAGAAAGGGAUGAACGUUACAAUGAAAUGGUCAUUCAACGAUAUACUGCACUUCAAAUGUCAUCUAUGCACAAUGAUCGGCAAAUUGACUUGAUAGAGCACCAGUGGACAUUAAAACAAGCUGAAGAUACUUAAGUUUAUUUAGUAUGUUUGUUUGUAUUUGGUAUGUUUAUGUAAUUUUAUUUGGUGUGUUUUUUGUAGUGAGUUUUUUAUUAUUUCGUAUGUUUAUGUAAUUUUAUUUGGUGUGUUUAUGUAAUUCCAAUUGGUAAGAAAAUAUGAAAUUGUGGUGUAAGGUAGAUGGAGAAGAAGUGGUAUUUAUAGAAAAGUAAAAACAAUUUUUUACAAAUUUUUUUUUUUAGAUUUUUUACAAUUUUUUCGGAUUUUUUCCAUUUUUUUUAAUUUUUUUUUCAAAUAAUUAAUCUCUGCCGUUGGAUUUAAAAAAAAUUGAAUUCCAACACUCCAGAUUGUGCCACGUGUCACAACGGUAAUUUUUCUUAAUUUUAAAACUAUUUUUUCUUUAUUUAUAAAGCAUAUUAAUAUCGACCGUUGAUCUGAAAUCGAACGGUUGAUAUUAAAUAAGAUUUGUUUUAUUUUUUUUACCGUUGAGAUCCAACAGUCCAAAUGAAAGAGCCGUUGAGAUCGAACGGACCGUGGGAAACCACGUGGCUUCCCAAUGGUAACUGAGACAACUGCAAAAGUGGGCUGCUUUUCUGAAAAGCUGUCAGGCGACGCGCCCCCACGCGCGAGUGGGGUGCACGCGCCUGACAAAAAAAAAAAAAAUGGGUGAAGAGCUCGGGCUCACGGCUGUCACAAAUUGACAGGCCUUCUGCUCGGGCCUUCUCCACGAGCUCGGGCUCUUCAAGACUGGAGCUGAUUGACUAGCCCUCGGGCCUUUCUUUUCCCCUGUCCCCCGGCCUACAUGCAUGGGUGGAGUUGCUCUAAGAGAAGGGAUUUCCAUUCUUGUUUUUUUAAAUGUGGACACCUUUUUUACUGUUAGAUUUGACUUUAACGAAAUUUUGUGGUUGAGAUUAAAUCACAAACCACAGAAUCUCAACCAUAGAAUUUCAUUAAAGCUAUAUUUAACGAUCAAUAGGGUGUUCCCAUUUUUUUUGAAAAAUAGGAAUCCCUUCCCUUAAGGCUUUCAGUAUAUUAUAUACACUAAAACUCAAUUGAUGAACACUGUUCAUUAACAGUGAUUUUACGUUUUAGCCCCUGUUUUGCUGUUUGUUUGCCCUUUUAUUUUUCGAUCUUAACAGUAAAAUGACAGUUUUGCCCGUUCUUUCCACGCGUCAGUCAUCGUUGAGCUCUUCACUUCAAGAGUCUUCUUUUAGGUUUAGCCUUUUCUUUGCACUGGUGAUUCUCUGAUUUCGUCUCUUCGUCUCGCCCUCUGUUUUUUCUCAAAUCCUCCAUUCCUCUCAAAUAUUCCGUUCUUUAUUUCACAAAAUAUUCAGGAGAAAGUUCCUGAUUUUCGUGUUUUAAGGGAUAUAAUGAUUUGGUGUUGUUUAUCUCAAACAGCGGGCUUGCAGGUAAAAUGUUAAGCUUUAUGUCCAAAGCAAUCUUUCUCUGCAUGCUGACUGUGUGUUGAUUUGAAGGGGUGGUUUAGUGAAUGGGUGCUUCUUAUUUUUGGCCUUUCUCUAUUAUCAUAUAUGUUUCUCUAUUCUCAGGUAUCAGAUCAUUCGAAACAAAAACAUUUUAACGUUAUUUUUGCAGGUUAAUGUUGGGUUUGAGUCCAACACGAUAUACACUUGAACAGAGUAGAGUAGAAGACAGUAUGCAAACAUGAUUUAGGACACAGUUUACCUAAUUGUAAACACUCUGUGAAAUAUUAUUAGUUAUGAACAUCCAAUUUGAAUCCCCCACAUGCUAAAUUAGGUACCAUUAAAUUAGUUUUAUGUCUUUUUUUUAUUUGAAAGCUGCUUCUUAUUUCUGUCUCUAUUAAGAUUCUGGGGUGUGCUUUGGAUUUGCUACAUAUGGUCAUAUUUUUUGUCAUUGGCUUUUUGUUCUGCUUAGUUUUUUUUAAUCGAGUGUUUUAUCUGGUAUUUCAUUUUGUUUUGUUUAUUUGUUUCCUUUUUAUGUUUAAAUGUUUUUUGUUCUUUCUAAAUUUGGGCUUCUGGGAAAUUCUUGCUCACUGUUUGGAUUCCGAGAAAAUUUAGGGGAUGUCCAGUAAUAUUCACAUCCUGAAAACUCAGUGAAAAUAGAUACCAAUUUAUGUGCAGCUGAAAAUUUUGUUAUCUGAUUCUGUUCUAAAUAACAUGAUUUAUUUGUUUUUUAAACUUUUAAUUAUUUCGUAUUUAUUUUGUGAUUGCAGAUGUUUAAAUGAUGGAGAGUUUCGCAAAGCUGUUACUCGGAGGAGACAUGUCUAGAUGAGGGAAAGGUGUCUCCACUGCCCUUGCUAUCUCAAAUGCCAUCACCAAUCUCUCUGGUUAGUCACAUUCCUCUUGGAAUAUGCAUAUUCUUAUGUGAUGUUGGCUGAUACCUUGGUGAGUCAACUUAAUAAAAAAUGUGAGAUGGACAAAUUGAAAAGUCUAUUUUCUUCUCAUAUGCAUCCUUUAACAUAUGUCAGUUUUAAUUAUUGAUGAGCAAUUGAAAAUUUAGUUUUUCUUCUCAUGGUACACUUACAUUGGUAGUUCAACAUAUGUUUGUUUAACAUAUCUUAUUAAAUGCAUUUGAGAAUCGAUUGAAGAAACUCAGUUCUUUUAGCAAUUAAGAACAAGGUAAACAUAGUUGUAAAUAUGUGUAAAUAAGAUAGGAAUUUUGAUGAAUUUAUGUUUUUUCCUCCGUUUUUCAGUGUUUUCAGGCAUUGAAGCUAAAUAUGGAGAGGGUUUUGAGACUUUUAGACCUAUUGGACCUCUCAAGGUUUGCGUGGUAAGGAGUUUAUGGAGUUAUACGCAUAGUAGGCAUUAUAUUUUAUGUUCUGUUGAAUUUAAUUUAAUGGUUAUAUUUUAUGCUCCUAUGAGUUAUUACUGUUAUGUUUACUCUGAGUAGGAUUUGUUGAACGACAAACUGCAAGGAGGUUUUCUUAAACGAAUAUGAUAUGCUAUGAAACCGAAUGAAGCUUACUGUCUUCUAUUCUCUUUUGUUAAUUUCGUGGUAAGUUUCUAUAACACUGAUUAGUUAUGUCUUCGAGGUUCUAAUGGCUAGAUAUGCUAAUGUAAUGAACUAUGGAAUAUUGUAAUAGUUUAUGGUCAAUGUGAUCCCAUAUCUGUUUGAUUGAAAUAUUGUUCUAUAACAGGUUUAAACUUUGUUUUUCCAAUACCUUAUCACAAAAUAAUUCCACCUUGGACAAAUUACAAGGUAUGCUGCAACAUGUGCUUUGAUUAAUUGCAUUCAAAUUGAUACUGCUUAAGAAUGCAUUUGAACAUGUUGAAUUUCACGCCCGCAGCAUCGCGCGGGCAAUAUUGCUAGUAUAAUAUAUAAUUGGGUGAUAAAGAGAGUAGGUGAAAGAACACAAUUUGCUCUUAAAAAUGUUGUUUUUAAGAACGAGUGAUUUUUCUUUUCUGACUCUUUCUGUCUAACCCAAAAGCAUACUGGUAAUAGGGUCCAGUAAGAAAAUUAUUUUUAGAAAUUAAACAUGAAAAAAUACAAAAUUUACAAUUUCGAAUUAUACAAAAAAGACAAAAAAAGCGCAAAAUAAAAAGAGCAGGACAGAAAAACAGAAACAAAAGAAAGGAGACACUAAGAAUACAAAUAGCGUGAUUUGAGCCCUCAAUUUUGGCAGGCAACAUGAUUGUUAACGCAUGAUUGUGAACCCAUCCAUUGAAGAAAGAAGCAUCAUAAUACACAAGAGUCAAGACUGGGCUUGGUUUAUAUAAUGAAUAAUGUUAGGGAGAUCAAAUUUUUUAAACUAAAUUUGUAAAUUAAAUGAUGUAGUUAUAGAUGAUUGGGUUAUUACUAAGUGUCGAUUAAUAUGUUUAUUUCUUAUUGGUGACAUAUCAUUUGGUUUAAAAAUUUGGUCUCCCUAGCAUUAUCCUUAUAUAAUUAAUCAAUAAUAUUCCAUAACAAGAGCUAGGUCCAUAUAUUACGAGGUUAUAAAAUAUGCUAGGUGCUAGUCGAGAGGCGGGCGGGGCCUAAGCAGAUUUAAGUAAAUUUAUUAUAUAUUGUAUAAAUAAAUGCCUUUUUAUACUUAAAAUGACACACAAUUGUAUCGAAAUAUAUAAAUUGCAAAAUAAAAUGACAUAUAGAUUAUAAAUUACUAGAACAUAAUGAACAAUCAUAUAAUGAGGGUUUAUCCAAAUAUUUAUUGGAAAACAAAAAACAAAAUGAGUGUUAUCGAUUUUCUGUCUAAAUGAAAGUUGCGGGCUAGGCAGGUUUAAGUGGGUUAGGCGGACGCCUAAGCAAGUCUAGAGCACUUUCUUAAUUUUUAAAUGAUUAGGGACUAAUUAGGGUGGUGGACAACUGCCUAGCGCUAGACAUGGGUUUUUAGAACAGUAAUUACUUGUUCUCAUAGAUCUCUGGGUUCAAGAAAAUUAUGAUCACCUAUUGUUCGAUCUUAAUACCGUCGGUAAGCGGUUAUUUAACCAUUUUUUAUAUUGAGUAAUUUUCCUGGAUCCUGAAAUCUAGAAGAACAAAACUCUUAUGUCACAUGGAUAAACAUAAUCAGGCAUAAGAAAAAGGUUGAAGAAUUCAUAAGUCAUAUAGGGGGCGUUUGUUUGCCCUCACUAAGUAUCACUGGACUAACUAUUAGUCCAGUCCCGUGUUUCUUCUGUAGAGGGAUUAUGUUUCAUGAGACUAAAGGGGAGUCACACGGACAAACUCCUUCACUAGGAGUUCUUAGCGAGAUCCCCCAAUGCCCAUGGGAUUGCUAAGACCUCGUAUACUCCAUCUUUGUAUGCUAUGUCUCAUCCUCUCUAUGCUCUCUAUUAUCUUGAGCACCAUCACACCACAACUCACCAACUCCAGUGAGAUCACACCACCAACCCACCACCACUUUCUCCCUCUCUCUUCACAUGAACCCAAAAUUUCGAACUGAGGAAGAUCCCGUUCUUACAGUAAUUCGUCCAGCUCUAGCUGUCUGCUUCGCUUCGCUGCACUUCAAACUCGACCUUGGACUCGUCUGAUUCGCUUUGAACUCGACCUCGUAUUUGUCGACUUUACGCAAUUGACGAGAUCUUGUGAACUUGAUGAUGGGUGAGCCACCCAGUGCACUUGAAGGAAUAUGGGAGGCCAAGAACGCCAAAGCCUACGACGGCAAUGAAGACGUUGGCUGGAUUGGGAUGACAGCGACGUGUUCCACAUCAAGGGCAGCGGCUUGGGAUUCUUGUUUUCAUUUGGUUUUGAUUUAAAUUAGGUUUUGAUUUCGAAUUGGGUUUGAUGUGAUCUGGUAUUGGCAUUUGAUUUGCUCUGUAAUUGUUUGAAUGUGUGGAAUAAAUUUUGGGGAAAGAGGAAGAAAAUUUAGAAAAAGAAAAAUAGACUAAAUAAUAAAAUAUUAAUAUAUAUUAGAUUAAAUAAUAUCAUAUUAGAAUUUAUUAUUAUCCUACUUCUUGGUCCGACACUGCACCAAACGCUUUACUAAGCUAAUCCAACUUAGUCUAGUCUAAGUCAAUCCAGCUUAGUUCCUGAAGUUAGUCUAGUCCAAGACAAUCCGGUGCAACAAACACAUUCAUAGAGUAAUUAUAGGGAUACUAAAUUUGUAAAUAAAAUUUUGUAAACUAAAUGACAUGGAAGUUGAUCGUUGAAUUAUUACUUAAACGUUAAUAAAUGUACUCAUUAUCACUAAAGACACGUUAUUUAAUUUGUAAAUUUUAUUUAUAAAUCUAAAGCAUUACCCAAACUCAUAAUACAAAUAGCUACUUUGAGAGAAGAAAAGAUGGAGAGUGAUAUGAUUGCAUUCUUUUUUAAAGCAACUUCUGAAGAUUCCAUAAUAAACUAUUAUUAUAUAUGAAGAUGUGCCGUGGUAAAAGAGAGGAAAAAAUGAAUGGAAAGUUUAUCCAAAAGAUUCUUGACCGUGAUUACAACUAUUUAACUUUUGUAAAUUUUCAUGGACCGAGAUCCAAGAAAAGAUGGAGAGUGAGAUUGGCAUUCUUUUUUGUAAAGGGAUUUUUUUUCCGAUCCCUUCCAUCUAAUUCACCUGAGUCAACCAUUUGAGUUCUUGAAAUUUAUUUAAACAACUAAAAUUAUUAUAACUUUUAAUGAAGCCCCUAUUUGUAGUCGUUAAAUCAAAUUUUAAAGAUUCGAAUUAGUGAAUUAGGUGGAUUAGGUGGAAGGGAUCCGAAGAAUAUCAAUUUCCUUCUUUUUCAACACAACUUUUGUUGAGUCCAUAAUAAACUAUUAUAUGAAGAAAGAAUACUAAAAAGACUCUCUCAAAAUCGAAACUUUUUGCGAACUUUUUAGCAUCUCAUGUUUUUGAGAUUAAUAACUAACAUUAUCUGAGAUUUAUUAAGUUUUCACAAAAUUCCCUUACGUAUGAGAUAUUACGCUAACAACACUUUAGUGUAAUGUCUCAAACGUAAUGGGACCUUGUAAAAUUUGAUUAACUUCGACAGUAUUAGUAUAUUUUUAUGUAAAUAUUAUAAAAUAUUAUGUUAAAUACAUUAAAUAACAGAUAGUCUUUAAGAGAGAUUUCUUACAUCUUUCUAAUGGAUACGGACGGUGGAAAAAGAUCAUUCCAUAAUUAAAUAUUGUGCUGUUGAUUACGCGUCUCUCCAUUUGACUAAGUUCCUUUUCACAUUCUUCCCUAAAUAAAAUGGUUCACUUUUCACAUUAUUACAAUAUUUAUAUUUAUAUUUUUACAAAAGGGAUUCGUCUAAAUUAAAUUUUUCGAAAAAUUUCGUAUAGUGAGUGAAAGUGAAACACUCCCUUUGUUAUGAUUAUGACAAUAUUUAUAUUUUUACAAAAGGGAUUUAUCUAAAUUAAAAUUUUCAAAAUUCCGAACAAGAUUUGAACUUUCGUGUAUAUGAAUAUAUGGAGUAAAUUGAUCAUGGCUGAAAAUAUGGCAGUGGUUGUGUUUGUGUUGCCUAACGGAUGAUAUUGAAAUACCUAAACACAAGUCAAGCUCCUUCAGUUAACAAAAACAGAAGUUUAUAAUAUGAUAAUGUUGGCGCACGGACUUGAGAAACAACAUAGGCCGGGAAUGUGCACAAAAAGUAAGAGAGAGGUAAAGAGGAAAGAAACGAACAUGAAAGAACAAAGACUAUCGAAUACAUUAUAAAACAAUGACUUCUUGGUAGUCAUUACAUCUCAACCAUCAAUAAUGCAUUAAUUUUGGUUGAAAUGUAGAAGUAUUUGAGAAGUAGCAUGACAACAACCACAUAAUAAACAAAAGUGGACGCAAAUGUGAAAGGAUAAUUAAAAACAAUUAUUCAAGAUGGGCGGUAGUUGAUUCAGCCAUUUAGAAGAUUCAAACCUAGAAUCAUUAUUGUAUUAACUAUUAACAGGUGCUAUAAUAUAGUUCUUAGGGAUUUCAAGGAGGCAUAUGGGGGACUACAUAAUGUGCAAUAGGAUUAAACUUUUUUUGUUACUAGGCAAAUGAACCAUAUUGAAAAAAGUUGAGGUUUAACCAUAAAAUUAAUUGACGAUAUAAAAAGUAGCUCAACCUCUUAUAAGCGUUUGCAAGAUUUCUCUUUUGACCUAUACAAGACUCUUUUACUUUCACAUCCUCGAACAUAUAAUACACCCAAAUGGAUGCCAAUAUAUAAACAUUGUUUUGAAAGGACAAGGGAGCUAACAGUGUCUUUUUAUAUGACUUGGACUUGGAGUACGGGCUGCAAAUUGCAUGCAAUUGCAACGAGAGCCAAAGAUAAUUGCCUUGUCCUUCAAAUUUGUUGGUAAAUUGGGGAUUGCACGAAGAUUUUCGCACUAAUCUGAAUACAGUGUUUCAAGCUUUUAAAGACCACUGAAGCUUUGAAAACUCUGUUGAUUUUACUUCCCAAGUAAGUGACAUAAAACUAAAUUGGGCAGUUGCAUGACAACAACCACUUAAUAAUCAAAAGUGAUUCGAAAAAGACCGAAAGUGAGAUGACCGCAUUCUUUUUCAGACAACUUUGGUAGAUUCCAGAAUAAACUAUUAUACAUGAAGAUGGGCGGUGGUAAUUGUCCUUUUGAUUAAAGUUUUUUGAGUCGAAAAUCAUUUUUCUAUAAUUAAUUCUUAACUAGAAAUUUGUACCAGUACACCGUUGUGGGACUGAAAAUCUUAUGAAAUAUUUUAUAACUUUAAUUUUCAUAAAUAAUGUGCGAGUGAAAAACAAAAAAUUACGAAUGGUAAUGCAAUUUAUAUGUAACCUUAUCAUGAACGGAACAAAUUUAGAUACUAAAAGAAAAAUUAAAAAUCUAUUUUUUCAAAGUGCGAAGAGAUAAUUGUUUAUUAAAAAAGUUGGACCAAUGAUAACUGCAUAAAUUACAAAUGCAAUAUUAAGAGUAUACCAGUCAAACUAAGCUUGCUACAGGCUAAACAAUGUUGAAAAACAUCAUUAGCUUUUUCAAGUGUUAUAUGCAAUGAAUGUAAUUAGCACGAAACUAGCACGAAACUGCAGAGGCUUUCGAUCCAUUAUAAUAUAAAAUAAAUAAUAAUAUUUACGUAUAAAAUAUGAUAUGAUUAUAUGAAAGUAACGACCCAAAUCUUAUUGGAGCUAAUUAACUAAUGUAUGCUCAUCAGGCAGCUGGAUUCCUUGGCAAGUGUUUAACCCCUACUUUCUUCACGCUCACAGAAUCACCAUUUGCAAAGUCAAUCGGCCUCACACCAAUAAAAACUUAAUCCCCGGCUAGUAAACUGAUCAGCUUAUCGUCCGAUAUAUGUCACUGCAAAGAUAAUCACCUUGUCUUUCAAAUUUGUUGGUAAAUUGGGGAUUGCGAGAAGAUUUUCGCACUAAUCCAAAUAUAUUGUUUCGAGCUUUGAAUGACCACUGAAGCUUUGAAAAGUCUGAUGGUUUUGUUAGGUCAUGUGUAUGACUAACGUUAAUGAUUUUCAACUUCCCAAGCAACUGUUACACAACUAAAUUUAAAAUCCAAGAGGAGGAUAUGAUCAGAGAAGAAAGAAAUGCAAUCCACUAAUAAUCAACAUCGAUAUUGUCUUCAACUUAAUCAUGAAUAAGUUUUAAGGCACAAAAGACCUCAUGCUUUUGUAGUUGAGCCAUUUAAUGUAAGGAGAAUCACAAUGUUAGUUAACCACAUCACAGUACAAAAGCACUAAAAGCGUCCAAGUGAAAGUGAAAGUGCUUUCUUCUCAUGUAGUUUCAUUUAACUUAAUUUUCCACAAUGGUAAUUAUGUUUCAAUGGUUCUGUUUUCACAUGCCAGUCGGUCAGUCACAUACUCAACUCCUUAAUGUUCGGGCUCAAUGGCUCGAAGAGAGCUUCCACUUCACUCUGAUUCACCUCCUCUAACUUUGACGGAUUCCACUUCGGAUUCUGCAUUGACAAGAAACAGAAGCCAGAGAUAAAGAUUCGUUGAUAUACGGAAAGUAAGAUGAUUAUACAACCGUAGGUCUAGUAGAGGCUGUAAUGGUUUAUGUUGCAGCAACUGCGUCAGCAAGUGAUUUUAUAGCAAGGAAUCUUGAGCAUAAUUAACGAACCUGAUCCUUGUCCACCAAAACUGCCGUACACCUUCAGCAAAAUCAUUCCGUAAAGACGAUCUUAUAGCAACGUGAUAUUCAGUUUCAUCACACCAGUUAACUGGUAUUGGUCAAGUAAAGCACAUGUUACUUUCUGAAAAUUUGAAAUACUACAACGCAAAACCUAUCAAAAGGAUGCAACCAUGUGAUGCAAGAAACGAAAAGGUACAAAGUCCAGACUCACUCUGGAUAAUUGAUUGUCAUUUUUCCCAAGCACGGAUGCAACUUUAGCGAAAUAAUUUUGUGUCAAAAAAGUGAAAACAGAGCACCCUUUCCAAGACCUUAAAGAGCUUCGUUAGCCCACUCACCACUGCAAUACAAACAAUUUAUACAAAAUACUUGACAGCGACAUACAAGCUGCUCAAUAGACAAAUGGCAUUAAAAAACUUACCAGUAGCAUCUGAACUCUGAUGCUGCUUUUUAAGUUCAUCAAUUGUCUCAAGAACCAACUUAUCUGCACCAAAUGCUGAAGUUAUUUGAGGUAAAAGAGUCUUGAGUUGCGCUUCAGAAUCUGGGUAGCUGGUGAAUUUCACCACAAUUGUUUCAAUGUCCUGAUGGGGAUCCUGGGAACUGAUUCAACAAUGGAGUUGCUUUUAUCUCAAGAAACGCAUUGGACAAUGUGAUGAUGGCAACUAAAGUUAAACCCACUGAAGCAUUGGAAAUUGCGUCUGAGGAUAGAAAAGGCAUACCUGCAGAUACUCCUCCCAGACUCUUUGCCUCUAUAUGUGAAAACCCAUCUGGGAACAAACCAAUUCCAUUCUCUGGCAUAGCAAGAACAGUCCUCAGAAAUGUAUCCAUACAAAGUUUGACACACAAAAUUAAAAAAGCCAUUGCAAUGUAAUUGACAACAUUGACAAUCUCUGUCUGACCGGGCAAUAAUGCCUCUGUAAUGAUCCGGUAGCGACUGUGACCUGAUAGGCCAAUACCAAAGCCCACUGUUAUGCCAUCCAUGAAGCUUAUAUGGGCUUCUUGUACUCGGAGAUAUUGCAUAUUAGAGAAUACUCAGCAGUGAAUACCUGAAAAACGUGCAGCACAAAUAUCAUAUCGGUAGCCUCUCAAAUCUUAAGAAAACUACAAAUGGUAGCUUAGAAAAGAAAUGAAUCCUCUCCAACCAAUACAAAUCAUAUUACCCAAGUUCAAGCAAAAUCAAGACUAAACAAAUGACCAGAUGUUGUAGGUUGCCAGAGAAUGUCAAACAUGAAAUUACAAAAGAAAAAAAUAAUCGUAUGUAUUGAACAUUAAUAAAUACAUGCUGAAAGCACAAUCUUAGCCGCAAUUUAUGACAUUUAUACAAGAUUAAAUCGCCAAAGAAAUUAAAGAAAUUGCAGAGCUCAUAUAAGUGAUGUUCACUAUGAACUUUUAGGCUUAUCAACAAAUACACCAUAACGAUUCUAAUGCAUGAAUUUUGUUAAAGGGGGCUUGCUUGCUUGUAUUAAGGCUUAAUCAUCAAUGAUUUUGCAAGGGUCAAUCGUAUUGCUAGUUGUAAAUCUAUUCACUAUGAAAAUUACCAAAAUUACAUCUAAUAUGGUAGUGAAGGAAGUCAUCUUACAUUAUCUGGAAUUUAGAAAACUGUGUAAGGUUAUAAUAUAUGGUUACAAGGACACAAUUAGACCUCAAUCAUAUUCGGUGGUUGGUUUUUGGCCGUGAUCUGCUUCACAUCACCGCCUGCAGGUAAACUAAAUCUGGGUUACUACAUAUCAAUGAAUCAACGUGCCAACUUAACGGACACCAUCUAUCUCUAUAUGGCAAAAAAAACAACACAAAAAGGAACAUGAAGUGAAACAAUAAACAACAUGACAUGAAACAGCACGAACAUCAAAGACCAACAAUCUAUCACGUAAGCACCUAAACAAGAAACAACUUUAGUUCAAAGCAAAGCGUAAUGUAGAAACCUUCGGCACAACAGGUGUGUUUUUGUCCUUUCGAGUUUCGGCAACAACCACUUUAAUAUCCUUUCCUGCAUUUACCAUGAUUGGUCACUCUUAAAACCUUAACUCCGCCGUGUAAGUUUAUCUUACAUUGCCGGUCCCAAGCCCGGAUAAAGGAGGAGGGGGAGGGCGUCAGGUAGUCGACAGCCGGCACUCCAUGAUUACGUCGAAUCCUUACGAAAAUGAAUCCAGAACGAAAUCGCGCUAAAGCUAGGGCGUCACCCGUAAGUGGCGCGCUGUGUGGCCCGAGCACAGUGAUAAGUGAGCAAGGGUCGCUAUAUCUCCAUCGGCACCCGGAUGCAGUGUUAAAUGAGCAAGGGGGCUAUAGAAACUUCUUUUCGAACGACUCCACUCAAAGUUGUUUGGGAGCAUAUGCUCCUAUCAACUUUACACGGGACACACAAAAGAAGUACUUUGAUCCUAUUAGACGGGGAAGGGUGAAGAAGCUAGGACAGAAGGGUAGAGUUCAAGAGAGCAAAAUGCGUUUAGGAACGUGGAAUAUAGGAACCUUGACGGGAAAAUCUAUGGAAGUAGUAGCAGUUAUGGUGAGGAGAAGGAUAAAUAUUAUGUGCCUACAAGAAACUAAGUGGGUUGGGCGUAAGGCAAAGGAUCUAGAAAACUCAGGGUUUAAACUAUGGUAUUCGGGCACAAAUAGAACGAGAAACGGUGUUGGCAUCAUCGUGGACAAGACCUUGACACAAGAUGUUGUAGAUGUUAAGAGGGUAGGAGAUAGAAUCAUGUCAAUCAAGAUUGUAAUAGGACAAGAACUUAUCAAUGUGAUUAGUGCGUACGCACCUCAAGUAGGGUUGGAUACGAGUUCGAAGGAGAAAUUUUGGGAAGACCUUGGAGACUUGGUGCAAGGAAUUGCUCAGACGGAGAAGUUAUUUAUAGGAGGAGAUUUAAAUGGACACGUGGGCAGGGAGACAGACAACUAUGGAGGUUUUUAUGGUGGCCAUGGUUUUGGGGAGAGAAAUGAGGAUGGGGAAGCUAUCUUGAAUUUUGCAAUGGCAUAUGAUCUCUUCUUAGCCAACACCUUCUUUAAGAAGAGAGAAGAACAUGUGAUCACCUACAAGAGUGGGUCGUCAAAAACACAAAUAGAUUUUCUCCUAAUGAGGAAAGGGGAUCGUAUAACUUGUAAGGAUUGCAAAGUUAUACCAGGAGAGAGCGUGGCUAAUCAACAUCGCUUGUUGGUGAUGGAUGUAAAUAUCAAAAGAGUGAGAAAAAAGAACAAGACUUGGAAGUGCCCAAGGACUAGAUGGUGGAAUCUAAAAGAAGAAAAACAAGCCAUUUUCAAAGAGAAAGUAAUCACCCAGUGUGUGUGGGAUAGAGAGGGGGAAGCUAACCAAAUGUGGGAUUCCAUGGCUAGUUGUAUCCGAAAAGUAGCAAAAGAGGUAUUAGGAGAGUCCAAGGGCUUUGCCCCACACCAAAAGGAAUCUUGGUGGUGGAAUGAGGAGGUACAAACAAAGGUGAAGGCUAAGAAGGAAUGUUGUAAAGCCUUAUACAAGGAUAGGACCGAUGAAAAUGGUGAAAGGUAUAGAAAAGCGAAGCAAGAGGCGAAGAAAGCUGUGAGAGAAGCUAAGUUAGCGGCUUAUGACGAUAUGUAUAAGCGACUAGAUACCAAAGAAGGAGAGUUGGAUAUCUAUAAACUAGCUAGAGCAAGGGAAAAGAAAGACAAGGGACCUAAACCAAGUGAGGUGCAUCAAGGAUGAGGAUGGAAAGGUUCUUGCUACAGAGAACGCGGUUAAAGACAGAUGGAAAGGUUAUUUUCAUAAUCUUUUCAAUGAAGGACAUGAAAGGAGUGCUUCUUUAGGGGAGUUGAGUAACUCAGAAGAGUGUAGAAACUACUCUUUUUUAUCGUAGAAUUCGGAAGGAAGAAGUGGUUGUAGCUUUGAAGAAGAUGAAGCAUAGAAAAGCAGUAGACCUAGACGAUAUACCAAUUGAAGUGUGGAAAGUUUUGGGAGAGACAGGUAUAACAUGGCUCACUGACCUUUUCAAUAGGAUUUUGAAAACGAAGAAGAUGCCAAAUGAGUGGCGAACGAGCACUUUGGUGCCUAUCUACAAGAAUAAGGGUGAUGUACAAAAUUGCAUGAACUAUAGGGGUAUUAAGCUAAUGAGUCAUACAAUGAAGCUCUGGGAGAGAGUCAUUGAGCAUAGAUUGAGGCAAGAGACACGGGUUUCGGACAACCAAUUCGGGUUCAUGCCAGGGCGCUCAACCAUGGAGGCAAUCUAUCUCUUACGAAGAUUGAUGGAAAGAUAUAGAGAUGGGAAAAAGGAUUUACACAUGGUCUUUAUAGAUUUGGAAAAAGCGUAUGAUAGGGUCCCAAGAGACAUUCUUUGGAGGAUUUUAGAGAAGAAAGGAGUACGAGUAGCAUAUAUCCAAGCUAUACAGGAUAUGUAUGAAGGAGCAAAGACUGCCGUAAGAACUCAUGAAGGACAAACCGAAAGCUUUCCCAUAACUGUAGGAUUACAUCAAGGCUCAUCCUUAAGUCCUUACCUUUUUGCGUUGGUAAUGGAUGAGUUAACAGGACAUAUUCAAGAUGAUAUUCCUUGGUGUAUGCUUUUCGCAGACGAUAUAGUGUUGAUAGAUGAAACUCAGGAAGGGGUAAAUGCAAAGCUUAACCUUUGGAGAGAAGUGUUGGAAUCUAAAGGUCUUCGCCUAAGCCGAUCAAAGACAGAAUAUAUGGAGUGCAAGUUCAGUGCAAAUGGAGGCCAAAACGAGUUAGGGGUGAGGAUCGGAGAUCAAGAAAUACCAAAGAGCGACCGUUUUCGUUACCUAGGAUCUAUCUUGCAAAAGAACGGAGAAUUAGAUGGAGAUCUCAACCAUAGAAUACAAGCUGGAUGGAUGAAGUGGAAGAGAGUGCAUCCGGCGUAUUGUGUGACCGCCGUAUGCCACUGAAGCUCAAGGGAAAAUUUUAUAGGAACGGCAAUAAGGCCGGCGAUGCUGUAUGGCACAGAAUGUUGGGCGGUGAAGCAUCAACACGUACACAAAAUGGGUGUAGCGGAGAUGAGGAUGCUUCGUUGGAUGUGUGGGCACACGAAGAAAGGAUAAGAUUAUGGAAUGAGGAUAUCCGGGGUAAAGUAGGAGUAGCCGAAAUUGAAGGAAAGAUGAGAGAAAAUCGGUUACGGUGGUUUGGACAUGUGCAAAGAAGGCCUACUGACGCUCCGAUUAGAAGAUGCGACUAUGGGACAGAGGUUCAGGGCCGAAGGGGUAGAGGAAGACCUAGGAAAACUUUGGAAGAGACCCUAAGAAAAGACUUAGAGUACUUGGAUCUAACGGAGGACAUGACACAGGACAGAACACAAUGGCGUUCUAAGAUUCAUAUAGCCGAUCCCACUCAGUGACUUGGAUUUUCCAAGUCUCCAACCGAGAAGUUUUCCUCACUCGGGAAAUUAAGGGAACACUACCUCAACCUACAUGCUCCACUCACAAAGCUUCAACAAAAGAAAAAUUCAAAGAACUUAGCGAAGAAGGCUUUUGGUGUAUUUAACACAAUACGUUGAAAUGAAGGAAAGCUUAUUUAUUGAUAUCCCCGAUAAGUUACAAAUAUGUACAUAUACUUGAGUCAAAAUAAACAAACAAGAGGGAGCCUUCACAAAGGUUGCUUAGGAGAAGUCUCAGCAGUCGGUAGAGCCCCAGAAAGAGAAGGCACCGGAGGGGGAUCAUUCGGAGCCUCAGUACUGGACAGAACCCUAGAAGGAGGAGGCAUCAGAGGUUGAUCAUUUGGAGCUUCAUUACGCGGUACAGCCCCAGAAGACGAAGGCAAUAAAUGCCUUUGGAACAAACCCACAAAUCUCUGAUGAUCAAGUAAAACCUGACCAUCAGAUUCCUUCAUCUGGUCAAGCUUCCUCUUCAUGUUUGUAGCAUAGUCAUGUGCGAGCCGGUGCAACUGUUUAUUCUCAUGCUUGAGCCCUCUAAUCUCCUGUUUGAGACUCAUCACUUCAGCCGCCAAUGAUUCAACUUGGCGGGUUCGAGCAAAUAGGCGUUGGGCCAUAUUAGACACAGAACCUGCACACUGAACACUGAAGAGCCAGAGAAUCCUUAACAGCCAACUCAUCAGACCGUUUGGAAAGUAGUCUGUUAUCUUUGGGAGUGAGAAGGUUCCUAGGCCACUACCGCAGCGGUCAUAUCAUUCUUCAUCACGGAAUCCCCAACGGUAAGAGGACCAGUAGGGGAGACGAAGGAUGGGCGCCAUAUGUUGUCUGAAGAAGGCGGGGCUGCCUCUUCAACAAGGUUCAAGUCAAAACGACGGUCGGAGGGGCCAGACAUUUUCAAAGGUGUUGAAGAGAGAAGAGGUCGGACAAAUCAAGAUCUUAGAAGUGCAAGAAUGGAGCUUCUACUGGUGGAUAUUCAAGUGUGCUUUGGAACUUAAUGUCAGCCCCUAUAAAAAAUCUGCACUCGACGAAGCUUCAGAAAUCGAAGAGGCGCCUGCUCAGAAAUCGAAGAGGCGUUUGCUUUCUCAAAAGCUGGGCUGCUCAGAGACCACGAGGGUUUGAUCUCAGAAAUCGAAGAGGCGUUUGCUUUCUCAAAAGCUGGGCUGCUCAAAGACCACGAAGGCCGAUCUCAGAAAUCGAAGAGGCUUGCUUUCUCAAAAGCUGGGCUGCUCAGAGACCACGAGGGCCGAUCUUAGAAAUCGAAGAGGCACCUACUUUUCCAGCCUUGUCAGCACCUGUCACACGCACACUCAGCUUUGCGGAAAUUAUGGGCAUUCUGUCGAAGAUUUCUGGUGAAGUAGAAAGCACAUGAAUCGUACUGUUCAAUCACCCACUUCCCACACGCAACAGUAGCUCAUGGGUACCACAGAUAACUUUGCCAAAGUUCUCUGACAAAGUUGAGACACGUGAAGCUUGCAGCUCCCACUACAUCGCUCUGACCAAGAAGGGUAAAAGAAUAGCAAAGAAACAACACUAACAAAGUUUAGACACAUAAAUUUUGAAGGUCUAGCUACCAUAUUAUUACCCACAAGGGUAAAGGAACAGUACCACUGCUGGAUAAUUGGAAAGUCCCGGUGUGUCAACCUCUGUGCUUCGUGGCAAGGUAGACUAGCAAACAUGCCCAACCUUUACUCACAUUCGAGAAAACACUCCCAACAAGAUUGCUUGCUCCAAAAUCGAAGAGGCACCCGCUCCUCCGAAUCUCGAGAGCCAGACUCCCAACAUGAUUACUUUCUCAAAAAUCGAAGAGACAUCCGCUCUCCGAAUCUCGAGAGCCAGACCUCCAGCAGGAUUGCUUUCUCAAAAAUCGAAAAGGCAUCGUUCUCCGAAUCUCAAGAGCUGGAUCCCUGACAGGAUUGCUUGUUCGAAAACCAAAGAGGCACCACUUUCCCAACUUCAAGAGCUGGAUCUCCUUGGAUAAAGCUUGUCUGUAAUCUUCACACACGCAACAUCAGCUUUUCCAGAUACCACAGACCCACUUUUUCAAAGUGCUCUGACAGAGUUAAAACUUGUGAAGCUGGCAGCUCCCACUACCGUGCUAUGACCAAGCAGGGUAAAGGAAUAGCAUUAUUACUUGAUGUUAGGGAGACUCCUAUAUAUGUCGACCUCCAUCCCCAACGGACAGGCAGACCUGCAAAAAUGCUCAACCCUUCCUCUUAUCUGAGAGGGCACUCCCAACGAAGCCUUUCGAAAUAUUCAGCUUUCUUUCCCCCCGAUAAUACCUCUGUAAACAAGCUAUACUAGAGCAAGAAUAUCUCAUAUCAUCAGGGUUAAAAGCAAGAGUAUCCCAUAUCAUGCUUUUUUCCCGUCUUUUCCUUUGGCCUUGUUCUUACCUGCAAGACAAGGAGAAAGAGAGCAAUCAGUCAGCACUUGGAAUCAAGCUUCCAGCCAGGAACUGACUGCCUGGAACCCCUUACCUGAUUACUUACCUGGCAUUGCUCUCGAGUACUCAUCUUCAACAUCUUAUGCUUCCAGGGAAGAUACCGCAAUCGCCUGAAGAACAGAUAGGGCAAGUGAGAAGGAUACAAGGAAGCAUGUGGAGACAAGCGUAACAGCACACGUGCCGAUACAUCCACUACUCUGUCAAAAGCAAAAGUAUCUCAUAUCAGCAGGGUCGAACGUACUCUAGAUUUGAUGGACUUGUUUUGACCCUCAAAUUCUUCAGUCGGCCUUAUACUCUGGAGGAAACCAGAAAACCCUCCAGCCCAGUUCAAGAAUAAGCCUGUGGAAAGUUACUUCUUCAAAAGCAAAAAGUAUCCCAUAUCAUCUCUUCUCAUUUUUCUUCUCUUUAUCCUUCAUGCUGCAUGCAAGAUAGGGAGAAUGUGAACAAUCAGCCGGAGCUCUGAUUGCUUACCUUGUCUGUCAUCUCUUUCAGCAGAUCCCCUAGCUCGGCGACUUAGGGGACUCCUACUACAUGGUUUGUAUCGCGCUUGACCAAGCCUGAAACUACAAGUAAGCUUCAAGUGACAAUUGAUACAUUACCUUGUGCAUCUCCACCAGUUACAGAUACCACCCCUGGAUGGAGGAAGAGUACUUCCAGAGAAGAUGCCACAUCUACCUAUGAGACAGAUAAGGAAAGUCAAGACGAUACCACACUCCGGUACUUAGAAGUUUCGUGGUUACGAGAUCAUUCUCCCACAAUAUUUCCUAAUGUCAUUUGUACUAAAUCAUUCACUUGUACUCACUAAAGGAGAGCUUGAACCUAUGUACUUGUGUAAACCCUUCACAAUUAAUGAGAACUCCUCUAUUCCGUGGACGUAGCCAAUCUGGGUGAACCACGUACAUCUUGUGUUUGCUUUCCUAUCUCUAUCCAUUUAUAUACUUAUCCACACUAAUGACCGGAGCAAUCUAGCGAAGAUCACAAAAAGUGACCGUUUUCGCUACCUAGGAUCUAUCCUUGCAAGAGAACGGAGAAUUAGAUGGAGAUCUCAACCAUAGAAUACAAGCUGGAUGGAUGAAGUGUAAGAGUGCAUCCGGCGUGUUGUGUGACCGUCGUAGGCCACUGAAGCUCAAGGGAAAAUUUUAUUUUAUAGGACGGCAAUAAGGCCAGCGAUGUUGUAUGGCACAGAAUGUUGGGCGGUGAAGCAUCAACACGUACACAAAAUGGGUGUAGCGGAGAUAAGGAUGCUUCGUGGGAUGUAUGGGCACACGAGAAAGGAUAAGAUUGGGAAUGAGGAUAUCCGAGGUAAAGUAGGAGUAGCCAAAAUUGAAGGAAAUAUGAGAGAAAAUCGGUUCCAGUGGUUUGGACAUGUGCAAAGAAGGCCUACUGACGCUCCGGUUCGAAAAUGUGACUACGGGACAGAGGUUCAGGGCCGAAGGGGUAGAGGAAGACCUAGGAAAACUUUGGAAGAGACCCUAAGAAAAGACUUGAGUACUUGGAUCUAACGGAGGACAUGACACAAAACCGAGCGCAAUGGCGUUCUAGGAUUCAUAUAGCCGACCCCACUUAGUGGGAAAAGGCUUUGUUGUUGUUGUUGUUGUUGUGGUCACUCUUAAAACCUUACCUAAGAGACCCAAAAACAAAAAUAACCGCCGAAAGAGCUAAACAUACAUAUAUAGAAAAACUUAAUUAACUGCAUGCUAAAAUGGAAGUGUAAAAUUGCCAAGAAAGAUAAGAAACUAUUUAAAUACGAAUUCUGGGCAUUACCGCCACAAAAGGCAUGAGCCGAACAGCUAUCAACAAGAACACACUUCCCAUUCAUCCAGAUAGCCCUUGUAUUUCACAUCCAUAUCUGCAUUUUCCAACAAUUCCCACUUAAACAGAAACACAAAAUUCAUCGAAAAAAUGCUAACUUCUUCGAAAUUUGAAUCCAACGUUUCGUCUUAUAACAAAUGCAAUAACAUAGAUUUGUAAUCAAUUCGAUGCCAUAAAGUUCAAGCUCAAAAUUUCAAAUCAGCUCCAAAUCAAAAGCAUUUACAGAUACAUACAUAUAUACAUAUGCGUGUGUGUGUUUAUCUACAUACCCAGGUUCAUGGCGUUGAGAGCUCGGCAGGCGACGGAGGGUGAUGACGGCGACGCCAAUUGGGUGGACGCUGCCCUUCGAAUUGGGUCGCUCCUCGCAAUAAGCUUCCCAUUACUUCCGUUUGAGAGUGACUGUCAGUGUAGAGAGAGGGAUUUUUUUUUUGUGCUUCUGGACCGGACUACACUUGAUGUUUCGGUUAUAUUACCGGGAAAAAGAACUGCCGCGGUGGCUACGCAGGGAAACUUGAAAUUUGAAAGAAGUAUGAAGUAUGGACUUGCCUUCAUUUAUUGAACUGAGAAAUCGAAAUCUGAAAGAGGCGUUUGACGAAGUGAUUGUGAUCUGACUCAAACAUGUGAUGAUGACGAUGCAUCACCACCUUGGUUGUGCCUCUGGAUCAAAAACAUACCAUCACCAUCAAAAUCGUGCAUAUUUUCCUUCAUAGGUUUGUCCCAUACUAGAUUAACCCCUAUUCCCUUAAUUAUUGCAUAAUAAGAAUUAUAGCAUGUCUCUGGCAUUCCAACGGCUAUAUCAACUUUAUCCCCGCUUUGCAAAUUGAACUUAUCGUUGGACAUUUGUCCCUGCCAAAGAAAACAUUUUUCAGGUAAACCAUCGUGCAUUUUUAUAACCCAAUCUUCCUUGCCUAUGCAGGUUUGCAACUCAGUACGCUUGGUAUUAUUUAUAUCAAUACUGCCACGAGGAUGACAAUAUUUAAAGCUCAUAGAAGGGCUUGAGGGACAAGUUAAGUGAUAAAAGCAUAACAGAGUCAACCCUUCAAAAUUACGACCAUCACUUGGGGGGUAUCAAAACUGACUUUAUCACCAUCGUUGACAAACUCGAACCAAUCAGGAACAUAAUUCGCAUCGAGAAAAAUGCCAGCAUAUCCGUAAGAAGUCCAUCCCUAUAUAUACAGUGCAAGUGUCAUAUACAUACAUACAUACAUACAUACAUACAUAUAUGUAAAUGUGCAUUGUGUGUGCAUGUGCGCAAUAGGAAGACAAUUAAAGAGAGAGAUACCUUUAGGACCUUCCUCCUAAAAUCAGCUGUGAGAUUGGUGCACUUUUGCAUUACAAUCCAUUUCAUGGAGUUUAAUGACUUAUCCAAGUCCGGAAUCUCUGUGAGUGCGUGUGAACCAGUUACAUUCAGUUCUCUCAUAUUUGACAUUUUCGAAAAAUUGGGCAUUUUUACCAAACAACAGCAACCAUAAGCAUCCAGAAAUUUCAAAUUUGUUGGUAAAUCAUAGAUUGUAUGAAGCUGGGAACAAUAACUUAACCACAUACCUUCAAGCUUUGAAAGACCAUUGAGGCUGGGUAGGGUGUGUAAGAUACUGCAGUGACUUAACUCCAGAGUUUUAAGAUUUGAAAGACCAUUGAGGCUGGGUAGGGUGUGUAAGUUACUGCUGUGACUUAAUUCCAGAGUUUCAAGAUUUGAAAGACCAUUGAGGCAGGGAAGGGUGUGUAAGUUACCACAGUGAUUUAACCACAUAGUUUUAAGAUUUGAAAGACCAUUGAGGCUGGGUAGGGUGUGUAAGUUACUGCAGUGACUUAACCACAGAGUUUUAAGAUUUGAAAGAUCAUUGAGGCUGGGUAGGAUGUGUAAGUUACUGCAGUGACUUAACCCUAGAGUUUUAAGAUUUGAAAGACCAUUGAGGCUGGGUAGGAUGUGUAAGUUACUGCAGUGACUUAACUCCAGGGUUUUAAGAUUUGAAAGACCAUUGAGGCUAGGUAGGGUGUGUAAGUUACUGCAGUGACUUAACCAUAGAGUUUUAAGAUUUGAAAGACAAUUAAGGCUGGGUAGGGUGUGUAAGUUACUGCAUUGACUUAACCCCAGAGUUUUAAGAUUUGAAAGACCAUUGAGGCUGGGUAGGGUGUGUAAGUUACUGCAGUGACUUAACUCCAUACCUUCAAGCUUUGAAAGACCAUUGAGGCUGGGUAGGGUGUGUAAGUUACUGCAGUGACUUAACUCCAGAGUUUCAAGAUUUGAAAGACCAUUAAGGCUGGGUAGGGUGUGUAAGUUACUGCAGUGACUUAACUCCAGGGUUUUAAGCUUUGAAAGACCAUUGAGGCUGGGUAAGGUGUGUAAGUUACUGCAGUGACUUAACCACAGAGUUUUAAGAUUUGAAAGACCAUUGAGGCUGGGUAGGGUGUGUAAGUUACUGCAUUGACUUAACCCCAGAAUUUUAAGAUUUGAAAGACCAUUGAGGCUGGGUAGGAUGUGUAAGUUACUGCAGUGACUUAACUCCAAAGUUUUAAGCUUUGAAAGACCAUUGAGGCUGGGUAGGGUGUGUAAGUUACUGCAGUGACUUAACUCCAGAGUUUUAAGCUUUGAAAGACCAUUGAGGCUGGGUAGGGAGUGUAAGUUACUGCAGCGACUUAACCCCAGAGUUUUAAGCUUUGAAAGACCAUUGAGGCUGGGUAGGGUGUGUAAGUUACUGCAAUGACUUAACCCCAGAGUUUUAAGAUUUGAAAGACCAUUGAGGCUGGGUAAGGUGUAUAAGUUACUGCAGUGAUUUAACUCCAGAGUUUUAAGUUGUGAAAGACCACUCAGGCCGGGUAGGGUAUGAAGGUUACAGCAGUUACUUAACUGCAAAUUUUCAAGUUUUGAAAGACCACAUAGGCUGGGUAGGGUAUGAAAAUAAUGUUUUGAGAGAUCUAAAUUUCCGUCUAACGAAUUGGGAAACUGCAAAGUAAACUUCGAUUCCACAGACGCUAGAGAUAAAUGAGUGAGAUUCUUCAAUCUUACUAUGGAACAGGGUACUUGUCUUAUGGCUGUGGAAGAUGCUAUAAGUACUCUCAAUGAUGUCAUCUUCCCUAAAUCCUCGGGCAGUUCACUGAAUUGCUGACAUCCAUUAAGAACAAGAGUCUGAACGGAUUUGGACUUGUAGAAAUCCCCAGGAAGAGAAAUAAGAUUCUGGCAGCCUGUGAGGUUCACCAAAGAAAGUUUUUUAAGAUGACAAAUGGAGGGGUGAAUCUCGGACAAACUGUUACACCAUUCCAAUAUCAACUCUUCAAGAUUUAGGAGAUUUGAAAAGUCUGGUGAUUUUUUUAAGUCAAGGCAAUAACUGAGAUUAAGGAUUUUCAAGUUUCCAAGCGACUGUUGCACAAAAUCAAAGGAAAAUUAAAAUUAAUAUCCAAAAACAAAUGGAAACAUAACAUCAUCAUGUGUAAUCGAUUGUACCUUGGAGCCCUCCCAAACUUGUACAAGUCUGCUAUACGCUAUCUCUAAAAUAACCAGUGCUCUUGGUUGAUCAAAGAAGUGAUCUGGUAUGGACUUUAAAGGGCAUCCAAACCAACGCAACCAUAUUAACUCUUUGGAAAGAUGUUUGUAUUCUCCAUUGAGCUGCACGUUGUAGAGCUGCAGCAGUCUCAGUUUCUUCAUAUUGGCAAAUGCUUCUGUACUGAAGCUUCGAAGCCUUUGCAGCCAAUGAUCUCCAGAAAAAUUAAGAGCAAGUCCUUUAACUUCUUCAGUUCCCUGUUAACAAAAGGUUAUAUUCAUGUGUAAGAAACGGAAUAUUUGCAUAUGUUUACAUGUAUGAAUACAUGCAAGUACUAUUGUUGGCUAAUUGAGAUGAUGUUACUUAAUGUAUAAUACACAUCCGUGAGUUAUAUGUGCUUUUCAUGUACGAUGCAUCAAUUCAGAAUUUUAUUGGGACUAUACUUACAAAUUUAUCUCUCAAUACAUCAAUGACCUCUUGCUGGUUCCACAACCUACUCCAUUCUCCAGGGUGACGAGGGGAUUUUUCAGAAAUGAUUAAUUUGGCCAUUUCUUGAAGCAAAUCAUGCAUAUUCAACUUCUUGUGUUCAAUAGUGAUAAGGCAUCGUUCACAGAGGACAUUGAUUCCUAUUGUUGCAAAAAACUUACAUCCAUCUAAUAUUUUUGCGACAUAGUCCUUAUCCCAUCCAAUAAAGAAACAAGAUAUGUCAAGGAAUAUAUCCUUUUGUGUAGGAUCUAGCCUUUCAAAGCUUACUCUUAGUGGUUUCAUUAUUCCUUCAUCAGGAAAUUUUUUCAAUUUCUCCAACUGACUUUUCUACUCUGUUGGUGUUCUUUCAAUCAUAAAAGAAGAACCUAAAACUGCAAGGGCUAGUGGCAAACCACCACAGUAAGAAACAACCUCUUUUGAGAGUUCAAGAUAUCCUUCAUUAGGCCAACUCUUUCCAAAGGCAUGCCAACUAAAGAGCUUCAGAGCUUCUUCUUCAUUCAUUUCCUUAAGUGAAUAUGUCUUGUCCACUUUCAUGUUCACUUGCUUUAGAAAACGUUCAUCUCGUGUCGUUAUGAUAAUUCUACUUCCUGGGCCAAACCAAUCACGAUUUCCAGCUAUUGCAUCUAGUUGUUCCACUUUGUCUACAUUGUCAAUAAUGACAAGCACGCUUCUACGUUGGAGAUGAUUUUUUAUCAGACUGAUACCUCUAUCAACACUGGUUAUCUUAGACUCGGUAUGUUUCAAGAUGUCAGAAACAAGUCUUCCUUGCAAAUCAACCAGAUCACAUUCACUAACGUUGGCAAGGAAACUUUUGAAUUGGAACUUAUGAUGAAGUUGGUUAUAAAUGGCUUUGGCAGCUGUUGUUUUACCCAAUCCACCAAUCCCCCAAAUUCCAACCAUGCGAACAACAUAUGAUCCACCAUUUGAAAGAUAAGUGAUGAUAUCUUGAAUGCGAGUAUAUAUUCCAACUGGGUGCUUGGCCAAAUGUAAAUUUUCUGCGCUCGGAAGCCAUUUUGGGAUAAUCUUGUCAACAAUUUCUCUAAUAAGCUUUGCUUCGCGCCUGAAAAAUUGAAUUGGUAAGCUUAGUAAGUAGGCUCAGUAGGAGCUAUUAGUACUAAUAUAAACAAUUUUCUUUCCUUCUUUCCUUCGUGUGUGUGUGUGUGUGUGUACAUAUAUGUACACAAACUAGCUACUAGCUAGUACGUGAUUUUGUGACCAACUUCAAUAAAAGAAACAAGUUCAUUCAUUGAUAUAUUAAAGUUUGGUGCAUCAAUUAAACUCCAAUUAUGGUUUAGAUUUUAGAGGAAAUUAGAGAAAUGGUCCUUGAACUAUGAUCAAAUUGUGGCCUUGGUUCUUAAAACUAAAAAUUCAAUAAAUCUCCUCCCUGAACUUAACAAAAUAUGAAGCAUUGGUCCCUAAAUGUUAACACCGUAUGAUUUUCUGUUAAUUUGAUUAUGUCGUCUUUGUGGGCUCCAUAUUAUUGUUUACUAGAUGGCACGUGGCUUGAAAAGUCAAAAUAAAAGAAAAUAAAUACAAACAUAGAGAAAGAAAGAGAGAGAAAAAAAAACUUUAAAUUAUAAAAGUUAACUCUCUCUCCCAUCCUCCCUUCCGCCUCACCUCCUCCAAACCCCAACCACACCAUUGUAGCACUUUCCCAACAGCCAAAACAAAAGAAAGUUUCUAAUCCAAUUUUGGAACACGUCUCCGUUUGCAAACGAAUUCACAAUGACAUCCAUUCACGCUGUCUCGACAGGUAAGAUUCAAGAAAUUUGUGGGAUGCGGGUUCGGGGUUCGGGUGAAGGCUGUGGUCCGUGGGCUACAGUUUGGAGUCGGCUGGAGAGUGGGAUUAGGGAUUGGGGGUUGGAAGUGGGAGGUUGACGGGGUGUGAAUCAAAGAUUGAAGGUGAAGGGGUGGCUGCGAGUGUUGGUGGGAUGAGGUAGGUGAAACUAACAUGUAAAGUUGUAAACCCUUUUAACUAAAAUUUAAAGGAAUUGGUUACGAAGGACUAACGCUCCAUAUUUUAUCAAGUUCAAGGGCAAAAUGUAAUGAAUUUUUAGUUUAGGAACCACAGCUACAAUUUUCCUCUAGAUUUUAUAUGAGAGAUUAAGGCGUAUUAAUUAAGCAUGAUAAUUAGAGUAAUACAACUUAAAUACUGAAAGCACAUGAAUGAUUACCUAUUAUCAGUGAUUUGAAGAUGGUAGCCAGACAAAUUUGCAGCUUUUGUAAGAACCUCUCCCCACUGCUUUACCUCUUCUUGUUUAGCUUCACGUUUCUUGUCAUCCUUUUCUUCACCGACGCCUUCUUCGUGCUUUUGAAAUUCUUCGGCUGACUUUGCAGCUUCUGUAAGAGCCUUUAUCCACUGCUCUACCCUUUCUCGUUUUUCUUCACGUUUCUUGUCAUCUUUUUCUUCACUGAUGUCAUUUUUGUGCUUCUGAAAUGCUUGGGCUAAAACUCCGUUCUGCUUCCUGACAUGUGAAGGAUCAAUGUGAUAGAAUAUUGGCAAAACAUGUCGCCCCAGUUUGUCUCUGCACUCCAUGAUCUUCACCAGCUCGUUAAGACACCAACUCGAAUCCGCAUACCUCUCUGAGAAGACAAUGAUAGAGGUCUUCGAUUCUUCGAUUGCCUGGAGCAGUUCUUUUGGUAUUUCUUCCCCUCUUUUGAGAUCGUCCUCAUCAAUAUAAGCCUGGUAUCCCCUGUCUGUUAAUGCCGCGUGGAGGUGGCCCGUGAAGCCAUUGCGUGUGUCUACACCGCUAAAGCUCAAGAACACGUCGUAAUUCCAAAGUUUUGACUUGGAGGAGGAUGAAGAGGAGGCUUCGUGGGUUGUCAUGGCGGUAUCCACCGUUAUGGCACUGCAGUGGUUCAGAUCACGACUGAAGAAUGGUAGUAGUUGUGUUCGUGCAUUCAAACGGAUGAUCCUGAAAUACCUAAACGCAAGUCAAGCUCCUUCAGUCAACAAGAACAAAGUUUAUAAUAUAAUAAUUUUGGCGUAUGGACUUGAGAAACGACAUAGUGUUGGCCGGAAGGUGCAGAAAAAGAGAGAGGAAAAAAGAAAAGAAAGGAACGAAAGGACAAAGACCAUCCAAAAGAUUCUUGGCUGUGAUUACAGCUAUUCAUAGGAGAAACAACGGACAUAUUUUCAUAGGAGAAACAACCUUCCCAUCUUCAUAUAUAAUGCAUUUCAACGGACAUAUUUUAAUAGGAGAAACAACUUUAGUUUGUACUAGAAAUUUUUACCCGCACGUUGAUGCGGCAUUUGAAAUUGUAUGAAAGAUUAUCUUUGAAAUAUAUAAUAGAUUGUGUGAUUGAAGAUUAAUACUAUUUACAUUGAAAACGUUGGAAAAAGUUUUACAUAUAAAAGAUUUUAUGAUACAAUCCACGUAUAAAAGAUGGUAAAUUUUGUUCUAUCUACAUGCAUUAUGUUAUGGAAUGAUAUAUAUAUAUAUAUAACUAAGUUCCAGAAUAUGUAAACUUCAUAACUUGGAAAUUUUUUGACAAAUUAAUCAGAUUCAACUGUGGGUUAGCAAGGUCGCCUAUAAAGUUUGAAGUCGUAGAAGCAUAAAGGACAAAUAACAAAUGAGUUUUGAGAAAUUAUUCCACAAAUGUCAUUCUGCAAAAUGUAUUAAAGACGAUUGGUAUAAGAUUAGCAAUCAUGAGUAGUGUAACAACAUCAACAAAAUAACCAUAAACCAUAACAUAAUUCAAAUUUUGUUUGCAAAAACAAAAGAAAAAGAAAAGAGACUUACAAUAAUUCAACCUUCAAUCUUGAAGUCCAGCUCAAAGAGCCAAACCUAAAUGCAAGCUUUCUGAAAUUUCCCAAACAAUACAGAUAAAACGGUAACACCCUAGUCAGAAAUGAACCAAGGUGCGAGCUUUCUAAGAAACCCAGAUGACAAAAUCAACAAAAUAGAAUGGAAAAAUGACUUACACUUUGAAGGCAUGCUCGAACCUUGAUCUAAAAUUGGUGGUGGGUCGAUUGUUGGUCACCAACUCUAAAUGAAGAAUUCAUCAGAACCUAGAAAUUUAAAACAAAGAAUUUUCCAAAAUCAACAUUUACUAAAAACCAGUUGCUUGGUUAUCAUGCAUGAUGGCUUGACAAAGACUGAAUUAAGGAAUGCAAACUUUACUUUCAUGAUUAUUUUUAAUGACAGCUAAAAGGUCAGAUCCAAAUGAAAAUAAAAGUUAGGACUUCACAAAACCAAUUAAAAAUCUAAUUCUAAAGUUAUAAGCACCCACAAAAUGAUUCCAGAUAAAGUUUUACACUCAAGGUCAAACCCAAAUGAAAUUAAAAGUUAGGACUUCACAAAACCAAUUGAAAAUCUGAUUCCAAAGUUCCAAACACCCACCAAAUGAUUCCAGAUAAAGUUUAAACUCAAAAACCCAAUAGAAACAAAAGCACUGGUAUAAAUUAACUGUAUCUAAUUGAAGAAACUAAAACAAAAGUAAAGCAAAGUAUAUACCUCAAAAUGUCAAGCAACUAAGUUCUUCCUCCGACGACCCAAAACUCUGAAAAUUCCACACAAAAAAAAAGGCAAAUCCAUUAGCAAUUCAUAGCUUUCAAAAUUAGCAAAAACUUGGGCAACAAUAAAGAUGUGUCUAGAACCAUCAAUCUUUCUCCUUAUGCAUUUGAAAAGAUAUGUUAUAAGCAGUUUAUGUAGUCAUUCUGAACAUGUUGCAUAUAAAUUCCUUUUCUACAGGGUUCAAAAAAAUAUGGCAGUUUAUGGAAUCUGUUGAAUGACAUAGUUGAAAGAUUUAAAAUUGAUACAUUCAAUUUUUAUGUGUAAAACUAUAACAUAUAGCUAAAGCUAUUGGGUCCAUAUCAGUCAUGUCGUAAUUGAAUGUUUAUCGAUGUAAAUAGAUGAUUUCAGUCAUGGGAUAACAUGUUUCUUGAUAGUAUACGCUGAAGUUUGGUCUAAGUUGGAUAUAAAUCGACCAAAAUCUUAAUAAGAGACUUUUUUAACUUUUAACCAAAAAAUGAGCACCACAAUACUACACUUAUAAGUUUUAUCAUGCACAAAAUACACAGCACUGAUUGCCACUUUUAGAGCAAGAACAAUACUUUACCAAAAGAAAACAACAAAACACCCAAAACCCAGAAACAUAAACACACUUAGGACUCAAACUCCUCAAAAACAUGAGAAAGAGAGAGAGUGUGUGAGGAGAAAGAAUAAAAAAAAAAAUUAUUUUUCACACAAACUCAAAAUUGCUUAUAAAAUUACAAAUGAAUGCAAAUCCAAAAUUGCCCUAAAUUAAAUCUGAUUAGUUAAAUGUUUGUUGCCCCAGAAAUUUCGUUACACCUCACAAAACUUGCUUUGAAGUUGAUAUUUUGGUCAAUCCAGGGGAAAAGGAGUUAUUGGUUUUGGAGCAGUUGUCAUGGAGAAUACCAUCUCCCUGUAGAAUGAUCUAAAAAAGGACUUACAGCUUAUGGUGGCCAUAAUAAUUUAGGAGGCCCUUCUCUCCAAAUUUUCUCAAUAACUUUCCUUUUCGUAGCUGGUAAGAUUGCAACUCCGAGAAUUGCUUUGAAGAGAUAUACACAAACAAAAUACCAAAACUAAGCUAUUGGAAGAAAUUUAGAAAACACAAGCACCAUUACAACUCAGAGUUAAAAGUCAACAGAAACCAAAUGGUACAAGUUGAAAAAAUAUAUGGUCAUGAAUCGAGAACUUCAUCAAACUAACAGCAAUAAAAUCUCAUAUAAUCCGUCAAAAACCAAAAAAGAGAUUCAAGACCUUGUAACGUCGAGGCCUCGUACAGUUGUAGUAAUAAUUUAUGGUUGAUGCACCUGUUGCUCAAUCAAAUCCUUCGUCUGGCUAAAAAAAUAAAAAUCUAUAAAUACAUUCACGUCCAAUUUAUGAGAAAUCAUGGGAAAGAAAAUGUGAAUAUGAAGAACUUAACAAAAAGAAAAAGAAAACUUCUUAUAGUGUGCUAAGAACAUCCUCCUACUCCUAGCAAAUUUUUUAUGGCAUUAUCCACUUCUCAAUUCAUAAUUCAACCAGUAACUCAAAGUCUAUAGUGUAUGAAAAAGUGAUAUCUUAGUUGAUCACGAUGAUAAUCAAAAAGGAAGAAACAACCAAACAAAAUUAUUAGGUCUGGGAUAUACCUUUAUCUGAAACACCACAAUCAUCAAAGUGAAACACAAACAAUCCAAAAAUUUGUGGAAAAUACCAAUAAAUGCUCAACUAAAAACGAAAGAAAAAGUAGAAUAAGUUUACCUGUUCCUCCCCUAAUUAAACUGCAAUACAAUUCACCACUGAUAUUCUCGUCAUCCUCUUCAGCCUGAAAAAUUUAGUAGAAAAUAAUGGUAAGAAUCUAGCAGUAUUUCCAUUGUUCAAAACCCAAAUUCCAGAAAUCAUGAAAAAUGGAAACUUUAUAUGGAAAUUGAACCCCCAAAAUCACAAAAAGGAAAAUUGAACAGAAAAUAAAUUUGCAAAUCCAAAAUCACAAAAACGAAAUUGAAACACCCACACUGAGAAAGCUGUAAAACUCACAAGGAAACGCUAGCUUUUCUGGGUAAAAAAAAUUGUUCGAAUCGAAUUGAAGAACCGAGGAAAAUUCUACAGGUUCAGUGGUUUUUCCAGCAAGAAAGCACCUUGUUUGUAAGUCGUGAGAGGUUGGAGAGCGAGAGAAGCCGAUUUGGGAACCAAAGAAAGCGAGGUUGGAGACCGAAAGAGGCUGCGAAUUGCGAGAGAGAAAAACGAAAAGGAAAGGAAAAGCGGAGAAGAAGUCACGAUUAUCGACGCGUGGGUAGGAUUCCACUGUGAGAGGAUUGCAUUCUUUUAAGAGUGUUUCCUUAUUACAAUUUUAUGCUACUAGAUCCAUCCUAUUGUUCCAUUUCUAAACUUUAUAUUAUAAUAUCACCCAUCGUAAAAAAUUAAAAUCCUAUUAAUCCACCCCAAUUAUUUCUAAAAUAACCUCAAAUAUCUAAAUCCAUUUUUAUUUCACCCCAAUUGCAUGAUCAGGCCUCGAUUUGAAGCUAGUUGACGUUGGCCCAAAUGCCAAAUUGUUUGAAUUUCCAAUAAACAUAUUAUAAUUAUAAAAGGAUGGUGAAGAUAUGAAUCAAAUUUGAAAGAGAGAACAUUACUUGGUGAAGGAGGUGAUAGGUGAUGUUGGUAUGGGUUAUGCAGUCACCAUUGGACAUGAGAGGCUUUCUCCUCAAAAUUCCUUCUACAUCUACAGCAUGCAAAUCGAAUGAUGAUAGGUUUAUCGAAGCCCUAAUACCAACUUUAUGACAAAUCUGAACGGACCAAUAAACAACCAUGGAACGAUCUUGAGACGCGACCACUGCGCGUGAGACUCAACCAGGAAUAACUAGACCAUCAGCCGCCGUCGUCAAUAUUGUAGAGGUAGAUGGUGGGUCCGAGAACUCGAUUUUCUUGGAGCAGUUUGAGAUUGACGAAGGGACCUGACGAGGGGUUGGGGUUGUUGGUGACCGAGAGUAUAUGGGUUUGACGAUGGUGGUGGUGGUGGUGGUGGUUUGCAAUCUCUCUCUUUCCUUUUCUUGGGGUUGGACAUUCGGGUGACAGCCGCCUUGGGAUCGGAUGUCAAUGGGGACGUGCUUGAGAGCCAUGAUGACGACGCGAGCGUGGGUGGGGAGAAUUUUCCAGGUCCUUUGAUGUAAUUUUACAAAAGGGUAAAAAUGGAAGUAAAAAAAUUAUAAACUAGUGGGGUGGGAAGAUAAGACAACGGGGUUGUUGUGGUCUAUUUUUAUCUGAUAAAGCAAUAGGGCCGGCGGCAGGGGGAGAGAGAAAAGAGAGAUGUGUGUUUGUAGAAUUGUAGGGGAAUGUGUGUUGUUAUCUCUCAUACAUUGUGCCUUUAUUUAUAGUAGUAAAAGGAGAGAAGAUAUUCCUUCUUCUCCAAGUAAUAUAAGUUGUAAUAGGAAAGAAUAACUAGAAUCAAAUCUAAUAUAGGAUUUACACAAUUUACAAGUUGUUAUCCCUCCUACAUUGUGCCUUCUUCUUCAUAAGAGUUUGAAAGAAGUAUGAAAUAUUGACUUGUUGAUGAUGAAGUUGAUAGUGAAAUGUAGUAACGGUUAAUUUAACAGAAUUUUUAACGGAUGUAUGAAAUUAAAAAAUAAUAUAAGUAAAUGUAUGAAAUUAAAAUGUUUUAAAGAAAUUGUAUGAAGUUGCAAUUGACCCCAAAUACGAGAGAUAAAACAUAAUUUACACAAAAAACAAAGAUCAGAUUUGUAAAAAUGCACCACAUAGUAGUUAAAACAUCCGGACGUAAAUGAAUGGUUUGAGAUACCAUCAUAGUAGCAUCUUUCAGUGUAAGUUUUUCUCAUAUCGGAUCACUUACCAGUAGAAAAGUGUAAUACCGUGUCGGGAAAGGAAGUCAAUGAUGAAAAGAGAGCAAUUUAGCUUUAAAAAUAAGGAAAACUAAUGAAAAGAGUUUGAAAACUUUGCGUUUAAUGAUAAGGACAAAAUAAAAGGAUAAAGUGAAUAGUACUAUGAUUGAUUUUUUAGUGUAAAAAUAUGGUUUUUCGUUAAAGUUUCCUUAAAAAUAUUGCGUCCUCCGUAUGAUGUUUGCAACAUGUGUCGCCAGAGUAUCAACUUGAAGCUCUCCACAUCUCCGUCGUCAAAUGUUUUGUAAGCAGCAUUGUUUAAGUUCUCUCUGUCAGGGAAACUGCAGAUGGGUUUGAUGAAGAAGAAUGGAAAAUAUAAUUUUUAGAAAAUGAGAAAGAAAAUUAUAAAACUUCAUUAAUGAAAUUUCUUUAUCAACAAAAAAAGAUGAAAAUAUAUCUUUGUCUUCUAUCACAACAAAAAAGUUAAGGACAGUAACGUAAUUUUACAAGAUAAAAUUUUACUUUUUUUUUAAAUCUCACAUAUAUGUAAGUUUAUCAUCUUUAAUUUAAAAAAUAUAAAAAAACCUCUCUUCCACGUUCUCUCUCACUCUCUUCCUCUCCUUCAAAUUUAACAACCAAAGUAAAAAAAUUCAUACGCUUUGUGUGUGGACAUAUACUAGUUGAAAUUUAAAAAAGGAGACUUAAAAAGAGAGAUUUAAUAUUUUCUAGGUUGUCUUGGGAGUUGGCAAUGACAGUAAGAGAGGAGAAUCUCGGGUUCCACUGGAAAGGAGGAAAUUUUUCAAAGCGAGAAGGUAGGGGUUUUUUCACUUGCUCUCUUGGUCUUUGGGCUUUUGGAUUGGAUUGGGACAAUUCCAAUUACCCCAUCCCAACUUACGACUUUUUAUCGGUCUAUAUUGGCUAAAGUGAACGUACUAAAAUAGAAAUUUGAGAACUUGAAUUAAGGUCUUGAAUUAGCGAAUGAAUGUCCAGUAAGAAUGUCAUGUAGUCGGACUUGUAAGGCUACCCUUAAUAAGUAGUCACGUUUGUCAAAACUGGUCUAUCUGAUUAUAAUUGUAACCAUAUUAUGUGUGACACAUGAUCAAACUUGAAGGGUUGUCCAAUAAGAAGUUGUCAUGUUGUCAAGCGUAGGGCCAAAGGUGAGCACUUUCCUACCAAAGUGUUUUCUUUUUCCCCUUUUCAAGGGAUUUGUGUCACCAUUAGAUAGGAGAUUCAAACACAAGACCUUGAAUUUAGAGGCAAACGCUUUAAAAAAGCUUCUCUGAUUCAUCUCCUCUGACUUUGACGGGUUCCACUUCGGAUUCUGCAUUGACAGGAAACCGAAGCCAAAGAUAAAGAUCCGUUCUGAUAUACAGAAAGUAAGAUGAUUAUCAACUGUAGGUCUAGUAGAGGCUGUAAUUGUUCUGUCACUUUAUAGUAAGGAAUCUUGAGCAUAAUUAACGAACCUGAUCCUUGUCCACCAAAACUGCCGUACACCUUCAGCAAAAUCAUUCCGCAAAUACAAUCUUAUAGCAAUGCGAUAUUCAGUUUCAUCACACCAGUUAGUAUUGGUCAAGUAAAGCACAUGUUACUUUCUGAAAAUUUGAAAUACUACAACGCAAAACCUAUCAAAAAGAUGCAACCAUGUGAUGCAAGAAACGAAAAGGUAGAAAGUCCAGACUCACUGUGGAUAAUUGAUUGUCAUUUUUCCCAAGCGCAGAUGCAAUUUUAGCGAAUUAAUUUUGUCCCAAAGAAAGUGAGAACGGAGCUCCCUUUCCAAGACAUUAAAGAGCUUCAUUAGCCCACUCACCACUGCAAUAGAAACAAUUUGAUACAAAAUACUUGACAGCAACCAUACAAGCCGCUCAAUAGACAAAUGACAUUGACAAACAUACCAGUAGCAUCUGAACCUGCUGCUGCUUUUUAAGUUCAUCAAUUGUCUCAAGAACCGACUUAUUUGCACCAAACGCUGAAGUUAUUUGAUGUAAAAGACUUGAGUUGCGCUUCAGAAUCUGGGUUGCUGGUGAAUUUCGCCGCAGUUGUUUCAAUGUCCCCAUGGGGAUCCUAAGAACCGUAUCAACAAUGGAGUAUCUUUUAUCUCAAGAACGCAUUGGACAAUGGAGCAUCAGAAAUUGCGUCUGAGGAUAGAAAAGGCAUACCUGCAGAUCCUCCUCCCGUACUCCUUGCCGCUACAUGUGAAAACCCAUCUGGCAUAGCAAGAACAGUCCUCUGAAAUGUAUCCAUACAAAGUUAGACGCACAAAAUUUGAAAAGCCAUUGCAAUGUAAUUGACAACAUUGACAAUCUCUGUCUGACAGGGCAAAAUACCUUUGUAAUGAUCCGGUAGUGACCGUGACCUGAUAGGUCAACACCAAAGACCAUUGUUAUGCGAUCAAUGAAGCUUAUAAAGGGCUUCUUGUACUCAGAGAUUUUGCAUAUUAGAGAAUACUCAGCAGUGGAUACCUGAACGCAGCACAAAUAUCAUAUCGUUAGCCUCUCAAUAUUAAGAAAACUACAAAUGGUAGCUUAGAAAAGAAAUGAAUCCUCUCCAACCAAAUACAAAUCAUAUUACCCCAAGUUCAAGCAAAAUCAAGACUAAACAAAUGAUUAGAUGUUGUAGGUUGCCCGAGAAUGUCAACCAUGAAAUUACAAAAGAAAAAAAUAACUGUAUGUAUUGAACAUUAAUAAAUACAUGCUGAAAGCACAAUCUCAGCCGCAAUUUAUGACAUUUAUACGAGAUUGAAUCGCUAAAGCAAUUGAAGAAAUUGCAGAGCUCAUAUAAGUGAUUUUCACUUUGAAUUUUUAGGCUUAUCAACAAAUACAUCAUUACGAUUCUAAUGCAUGAAUUUUGUUAAAAGGGGCUUGCUUGCUUGUAUUAAGGCUUAAUCAUCAAUGAAUUUGCAAGAAGCAAUCGAUUUGCUAGUUGUAAAUCUAUUCACUAAUUACCAAAAUUACAUCUAAACGGUAGUGAAGGAAGUCAUCUUAUAUUAUCUGGAUUUUAGAAAACUGUGUAAGGUUAUAAGUCUGUUAUUAUAUAUAGUUAAAAGGGACACAAUUAGACCUCAAUCAUAUUUGGUGGUUGGUUUUUGGCCAUGAUCUGCUUCACAUCACCCCCUGCAAACAAAAAUGAACACUAAGAGAAACAAUAAACAAAUGACAUGAAACAACACGAACAUCAAAGACCAACAAUCUAUCACGUAAGUACCUAAACAAGAAACAACUUUAGUUCAAAGCAAAGCGUAAUGUAGAAACCUUCGGCACAAGAGGUGUGUUUUUGUCCUUUUGAAUUUCGGCAACAACCAUUUUAAUGUCCUUUCCUGCAAUUACCAUGAUUGGUCACUCUCAAAACCUUACCUAAGAGACCCAAAAACAAAAAUAACCGCCGAAAAAUUUAUUUAACUACAUGCUAAAAUGGAAGUGUAAUAUUGCCAAGAAAGAUAAGAAACUAUUCAAAUACAGAUUCUGGGCUUACCGCACAAAAGGCACGAGCCUAGCGGCUACCAAAAAGAACACACUUCACAUUUGGGUGAGAUUCCCAUUCAUCCAGAUAGCUCUUGUAUUUCACAUCCAUAUCUGCAUUUUCCAACAAUUCCCACUUAAACAGAAAUACAAAAUUCUUUGAAAAAAAGCUAACUUCUUCGAAAUGCGAAUCCAACGUUUCGUCUUAUAACAAAUGCAAUAACAUAGAUUUGUAAUCAAUACGAUGCCAUAAAGUUCAAGCUCCAAAAUUCAAAUCAGCUCCAAAUCAAAAGCAUUUACAGAUAUAUACAUAUAUACAUGUGUGUGUGUGUGUGUGUGUGUGUUUAUCUACAUACCUAGGUUCAUGGCGUUGAGAGCUUGGGGGCCGACCGAGGGUGAUGACGGCGACGCCAUUUGGGUGGACGCUGCCCUUGACGAACGCGUCGGCGGAGGCCAUGAUCCCGAAGGGGCGGAGGAGGCGAGGGGAUUUGGAUGGUUGGAAAAGAGAAAGCUUCGAAUUUGGAUUGAGGAAGAAGAAAGCGGACGACGAUUUGCUCAGAAUUUAGGUCGCUCCUCCCAAUAAGCUUCCCAUUACUUCCGGUCGGGAGUGACUGCAUCAGUGUAGAGAGAUAAAGAUAUUUUUGGUGCUUCUGGGCCGGACUACCCUUGAUGUUUCGGUUAAAUAACCGGGAAAAACAACUGCCGCAGGGAAAUUUGAAAGAGGCGUUUGACGAACUGAUUGUGAUCUGACUCAAACAUGUGAUGAUGACGAUGCAUCACCACCUUGAUUGUGUCUCUGGAUGAAAAACCUACCAUCAAGAUCAAAAUCGUGCAUAUUUUCCUUCAUAGGUUUGUCCCAUACUAGAUUAACCCCUAUUCCCUUAGCUUUCGCAUAAUUAAAUGCAUUAGUUUUCGCAUAAUUAAAUGCACCGCCUUUCAUUGGUAUUUCAAAAGUUAUAUCAACUUUAUCCCCGCUUUGCAAAUUGAGCUUAUCGUUUGAUAUUUGACCUUGCCAAAGAUAACAGCUUUCAAAUACAAUAUCGCGCAUUUUUGUAACCCAAUCUUCCUUGCCUAUGCAAGUCUGUAACUCAGUACGCUUGGUAUUAUUUAUAUCAAUACUAGCACGAGGAUGACCAUCUUUACCUCUCAUAUAAGGUCUUGGCCGAUCAAGAUAAGAGCGGUAAAAGCAUAACAGAGUUAGCCCUUCAAAACUACGACCAUCACCCGGGGGAAUAUCAAAGCUAACUUCAUUACCAUCAUUGACAAACUCGAACCAAUCAGGAACAUAAUUCCCAUUGAGAAAAAUGCCACCAUAUCCGCAAGAAGUCCAUCCCUAUAUAUAUAUUGCAAGUGUCAUAACUAUAUACAUACAUGUACAUGUGUGUUGUGUGUGUGCAUGUGCGCAAUAGGAAGACAAUUAAAGAGAGAGAGAUACCUUUAGGACGUUCCUCCUUAAAUCAGCCGUGAGUUUGGUGCACUUACUCAUAUCAAUCCAUGUCAUGGAGUUUAAUGACUUAUCCAAGUCUGGAACCUCAGUGAGUUCGUGUGAAUCACAUACAUUCAGUUCCCUCAUAUUUGACAUUUUCGAAAAAUUGGGCAUUGUUACCAAACGAUAGCAACUAGAUGCAUCCAGAAAUUUCAAAUUUGUUGGUAAAUCAUAGAUUGUAUGAAGCUGGGAGCAAUAACUUAACCACAAACUUUCAAGUUUUGAAAGACCACUGAGGCUGGGUAGGGUAUGAAAAUAAUUGACUGAGAGAUCUAAAUUUCUUAAAGAGUCUAAGCCGUGUAACGAAUCGGGAAAUUGCAAAGGAAACUUCGAUCCCACAAAAUUAUUGAGAGAUAAAUGAGUGAGAUUCUUCAAUCUUACUGUGGAACGCGGUACUUGUCUUAUGGCUGUAGUAGAUGCUUUAAGUACUCUCAAUGAUAUCAUCUUCCCUAAACCCUCGGGCAAUUCACUGAAUUGCCAACAAAAAUCAAGAACAAGAGUCUGAACGGAUUUGGACCUGUAGAAAUCCCCAGGAAGAGAAAUAAGAUUCUUGCAGCGUGUGAGGUUCACCAAAGAAAGUUUUUUAAGAUGACCAAUGGAGGGGUGAAUAUCGGACAAACUCCUACACCUUUCCAAUAUCAACUCUUCAAGAUUUGGGAGAUUUGAAAAGUCUGGUGAUUUUUUUAAGUCAGAGCAACUUCCAAGAUUAAGGACCUUCAAGUUUUCAAGUGACUGUUGCACAAAAUCAAAGAAAAAUUAAAAUUAAUAUCCAAAAGGACUAUCUCAGAAAAAAAGAAGGAAAUCCAAAAAACAAAUACAAACAUAACAUCAUCAUGUGUAAUCGAUUGUACCUUGGAGCCCUCCCAAACUUGUACCAGGUCGCUAGAUGUUAUCUCUAAAAUAACUAGUCUUGGUUGAUCAAAGAAGUCAUCUGGUAUGGACUUUAAAGGGCAUCUUUCCCAACACAACCAUAUUAACUCCUUGGGGAGAUGUUUGUAUUCUCCAUUGAGCUGCACGUUGUAGAGCUUGAGCAGUCUCAGUUUCUUCAUAUUGGCAAAUGCUUCUGUACUGAACCCAGGCAUGUUAGACCUUGGAGGCCAAGGAGGAGGGAUACCUAGAGCAAGUCCUUCAACUUCUUCAGUUCCCUGUUAACAAAAGGUUAUAUUCAUGUGUAAGAAACGGAUUAUUUGCAUACGUUUACAUGUAUGAAUACAAGCAAGUACUAUUGUUGGCUAAUUGAGAUGAAUGUUAAUGUAUAAUACACAUCCGUGAGUUAUAUGUGCUUUUCAUGUACAAUGCAUUAAUUCAGAAUUUUAUUGGGAAUGUACUUACAGAUUUAUCUCUCAAUACUUUAAUGACCUCUUGCCGGUUCCACAACCUACUCCACUCUCCAGGCUGACGAGGGGAUUUUUCAGAAAUGAUUAAUUUGGCCAUUUCUCGAAGCAAAUCAUGCAUAUUCAACACGUUGUCUUCAACAGUUAUAAGGCAUCGUUCACGGAGGUCACUGAUUCCUAUUGUUGCAAAAAAGUUACAUCCAUCUAAUAUUUUUGCGACAUAGUCCUUAUCCCAUCCAAUAAAGAAACAAGAAAUGUCAAGGAAUAUAUCCUUUUGUGUAGGAUCUAGCCUUUCAAAGCUUACUCUUAGCGGUUUCAUUAUUCCUUUAUCAGGAAAUUUUUUCAAUUUCUCCAACUGACUUUUCCACUCUAUUGGGGUUCUUUCAAUCAUAGAAGAACCUAAAACUUCAAGGGCUAUUGGCAAACCACCACAGUAAGAAACAACCUCUUUUGAGAGUUCAAGAUAUCCUUCAUUAGGCCAACUCUUUCCAAAGGCAUGCCAACUAAAGAGCUUCAGAGCUUCUUCUUCAUUCAUUUCCUUAAGCGGAUAUGUCUUGUCCACUUUCAUGUUCACUUGCUUUAGUAAACAUUCAUCUCGUGUCGUUAUGAUAAUUCUACUUCCUGGACCAAACCAAUCACGAUUUCCAGCUAUGGCAUUUAGUUGUUCCACUUUGUCUACAUUGUCAAUAAUGACAAGUACGCUUCUACGUUGGAGAUGAUUUUUUAGCAAACUGAUACCUCCAUCAACACUGGUUAUCUUAGACUCAGUCUGUUUCAAGAUGUCAGAAACAAGCUUUCCUUGCAAAUCAACCAAAUCAUAUUCACUAACGUUGGCAAGGAAACUUUUGAAUUGGAACUUAUGAUGAAUUUGGUUAUAAAUGGCUUUGGCAGCUGUUGUUUUACCUAAUCCACCCAUCCCCCAAAUUCCAACCAUGACAACGUCAUUUGAUCCACCACCUGAAAGAUGAUUGAUAAUAUCUUGAACGCGAGAAUUGAUUCCAACCGGGUGCUUGGCCACAUUUAAUUCGUUUGCACCCGGAAGCCAUUCCGUAAUGAUCUUGCCAACAAUUUCUCUAAUAAGCUUUGCUUCGCGCCUAGAUGUUGAAUUUGUAAGCAUUAGCGGGACUCAAUGAACAGUAGGAGCUAUUAGUACAUAGACAAUUUUCUUUCCUUCAUACAUAUUCUAACUAGCUACUAGCUAGCAUGUGAUUUUUUUACCAACUUGAUAAAAGAAAGAAAUUCAUUCAUUAAUUAAACUCCAAUUACGGUUUAGGUUUUAUAUGAGAGGUUAAGGUGUAUUAAUUAAGCAUGUUAAUUAUAUGAGAGAUUAAGUCAUUCACUAAAAUGUGUCAAAUCUUUAAAAGCAGGUGAAUGAUUACCCAUUGUCAAUGAUUUGAAGAUGUUGGCCAGACAAAUUUGCAGCUUCUGUAAGAGCCUUUCUCCAUUGCUUUACCCUUUCUUGUUUAGCUUCACGUUCCUUGUCAUCUUUUUCUUCACGAAUGCCCUCUUCGUGCUUCUGAAAUGCUUGAGCUAAAUCUCCGUUCUGCUUCCUAACAUGUGAAGGAUCAACAUGAUAGAAUAUUGGCAAAACACGUCGCCCCAGUUUGUAUCUGCACUUCAUGAUCUUCACCAGCUCGUCAAGACACCAACUCGAGUUCGCAUAACUCUUUGAGAAGACAAUGAUAGAGAUCCUCGCCUCUUCAAUUGCCCGGAACAGUUCCUCUUUUAUUUCUUCCCCUCUUUCUAGAUCGUCCUCAUCGAUAUAAGCCUGGUAUCCCCUCUCUGUUAAUGCCGCAUGGAGGUGGCCCGUGAAGCCAUUGCGUGUGUCCACACCGCUGAAGCUCAAGAACACGUCGUAAUUCCAAAGUUUUGACUUGGAGGAGGAUGACGAGGAGGCUUCGUGGGUUGUCAUGGGGGUAUCCACCGUUAUGGCACUGCAGUGGUUCAGAUCACGACUGAAUUAAGGAAUGCACAACUUUACUUUUAUGAUUAUUUUCAAUGACAGCUAAAGGUCAGAUCCAAAUGAAAAUAAAAGUUAGGACUUCACAAAACCAAUAAAAAAAUAUAAUUCCCAAGUUACAAAUACCCACCAAAUGAUUCCAGAUAAAGUUUUAAACUCAAGGUCCGGCCCAAAUGAAAUUAAAAGUUAGGACUUCACAAAACCAAUUGAAACAGAAACCAAAUGGUAGAAGUUGAAAAAAAUAUAUGGUCAUGAAUCGAGAACUUCAUCAAACUAAUAGCAAUAAAAUCUCAUAUAAUAUGUCAAAAACCAAAAAAGAGAAAGAGGUAAUUUCAAGACCUUGUAACGCCGAGGCCUCGUACAGUUGUAGUAAUAAUAUAUGGUUGAUGCACCUGUUGCUCAAUCAAAUCCUUUGUCUGGCUAAAAAAAUAAAAUCUAUAAAUACAUUCACGUCCAAUUUAUGAGAAAUCAUGGGAAAGCAAAUGCACUGAGAACGGAAUCAUGAAUAUGUAGAACUUGCCAAAAAGAAAAAGAAAACUUUUUAUAGUGUGCCAAGAACAUCCUCCUACUCCUAGCAAUUUUUUAUGGCAUUAUCCACUUUUCAAUUCAUAAUUCAACCAGCAACUCAAAGUCUAUAGUGUAUGAAAAGGUGAUAUCUUAGUUGAUCACGAUGAUAAUUAAGUAGAUUAAAUGACGACCCAUAAAGCAUACAAAUUCAGAAAAGAAAAGGUACGAAACUGCCAUAAGAAAACGCAGAAUAUAUAAACCGGAAAUCAAAAGAAGAGAAGCGAAAAAGGAAGAAAAAAAAAACCAAACAAAAUUAUUAGGUUUGGGAUAUACCUUUAUCUGAAACGCCACAAUCAUCAAAGUCAAACAUAAACAAUCCAAAAAUUUGUGGAAAAUACCAGUAAAUGCUCAACUAAAAACGAAAGAAAAUGUAGAAUAAGUUUACCUGUUCUCCCCCUAAUUAAACUGGAAUAACAUUCACCACUAAUAUUCUCGUCGUCAUCCUCUUCAGCCUGAAAAAUUUAGUAGAAAUACUCAAUGAAGACGCUUAAUGUAGACAGUAAUAUUAGCAAUGGAGGAAUUGAAUUGAUAACCAAAACUGCAAGACCAAAUGACUAUUUAGGUUCAAAACAGAAACUCGUCUGCUAGAUGUCUCAUCUUUAGGCAGUGCCUUGUUCUUGUUUUUUUUUCUUUUUUUUUUGUUGUUGCAUGUCUUGUGAAGUUCAUGUAAAUCAACAAAAUUGAUACUUUUGACACAACCAACAAUGGAGAGGUAAAAAGUUAAAAACAUUAGGAAUGUCUUCAUUUUUGUAAUGGAUUUUGCAAGUCAGAAAUUCUGUUCGAGAAUUUGCAACCCAGAAAGUCCGCCAGAAAUUAUUAACAAUCACAGAUAAGCACCGAAUGAAGGCCAAUCUAAUAAGCCAAAAUAUGUAGGGCACUAAAGAAAUUACCCAGUAACAAUAAUAGAUAAGCACAUAUGAAACUAAAGAAAUUUUUCAUUACUAUCAACUCCCAAAAAAAAAAAAAAAAAAAACUGUGCAAUCCAAAAAAUGUUGAUACAUAGUUGGAGUAUCAAUGCCUGAAAUUGGUAUUUGAACCACGAAUAUGUUUGUUAGCUUAAAGGUUUGGGUUGAAGUUGUGAAAGGAAAUGUAAUUUCUUAAAAGAAGGAGAGAAUGCAAAGAUGAAUACAGAAUGGUUCAUGUGGCCACCUUGUUAAGGCACAGAAAAAGACAUCAAAUUUUAUACUUGUUGCAUCCAAGGUAUGCAACAGCCUCCCACAGAAAUUACAGAAAUCAAAUCAAGAAAAAAGAUAAUUACACAAUAAUUACACCUUCACUAAGAAAAUAAAUUAUAAAAACGAAGACCGUGAGAAUAAUUACC